This 61174-nucleotide long non-coding RNA is filed under the name Malus domestica (apple). RNAcentral describes it as "long non-coding RNA (MDOM_LNC004751)". The record is from RNAcentral. Lineage: Eukaryota; Viridiplantae; Streptophyta; Magnoliopsida; Rosales; Rosaceae.
UUUUUUUUUUUUUCUACUUUGGAAUAUCACAAGGAGCCUUGAGAUAAUAUAUUGUUUACUGGUGAAACGGAUAUUACACAAUGUGCAAGAACUGGAGUAGGCAGUCUGAGCAGCUCAUGUUGGUUGCAUUUACCAUGCAGAUGUCAAUAUUAUCACGAAUGUACCCCUGCAAGGAAUGUGCAGAUCACUUUCAAGAAAUUCUGAGGUUCACAAUUUCAUCUUUUACUCAUCAUCUUCGUUCUUCUCUAGUGUCCCGUAGUUCUCAACGUCAUAGGGUAAUUUCGUAUCAAAUAUCUAAAUGUGAGAUUCAAAUGCUGCACUCGUACAAUCUCCAGAUGCUCGUUUAGUAUACUUUUGAACUUAUAGAUGUAUAUUUGGUGCAUGUUUGGCAGAUCAAAUCCUGUACAGGCUGGAUCACAUGCCGAGUUCUCCCAAUGGCUAUGUCAUGUGCAUAAUACGGUUAACAGAAGGUACGUUCUGCAGAAAUCUUCCACUGUUCUGGUUCUGUAAUCUGAGAAGCCUGAUAAUGUUGUAAAUUAUAUUCGUUGAGAUCUAAUAUGUGGAGAUAUUGAUACAGCGUUAACAAACCGAUUUUCCCCUGUGAACGAGUUGAUGCACGGUGGGGCAAGUUAGAGUGCGAACGGCGUGCUUGCGAUCUGUUAGGAAUUACCGGAAGUUUUGGUGACAACACAUAUUAUUAAGUACUUUCUGGAGUAGAUUUGAAUGAUUAGGGUUGAUGCUAUUCUUGCAGAAAUCAUUGAUUGUAAUCAACUUUCGUAUAAAGAAUUUCAUGAUUUGCAGAUAAUUUUUAUAUUGAUAUUCAUAAGCAAAAUCCUUCCUGCUAUUAUCAUGCCGUGAUGCGGAAAGAGUCAGACAAAGCGAUAUUCAUCGAGCUUGAUAACUUUACACGUCCAGAUAAAUUACAAGGUUUGUGUAAUGAAGAUCAUCUGAUACCAUCUGCUCUUUCAAAUAAGAAAACAUAAGCAAACAAAACGAAGGUUGACUCUGAGAAGAGUACUGUGACAUGCCCCGCCAGAUAUAAACACAGUUAGAUUAUGUCCCAUGUCUGCUAUUAAACCGUACGGAAUGGUGGCGCCUCGCCGAAUUUCAGAAUGUAGGCAGUUUCAUAUACAGGCCGCAGUUGUGGGAUCAGUUGCGCAUCUAAAUAUGCAUCACAGGAGAAACACCAGACAGAUAGGUCACUGCACGAAAUGUAAACCAAGACAGAAGAGGAGUUUGUAAGAAAUUAGACUAUAUAGAAGUAAAGAAAAAGACUUGAGGAUGCCUAAGAAGAAAGGAUUGGUAAUUGUACCUAUAGCUGAGAGCAAGACAAUGGUUAGACUGCUGGUAAUGCUGGAGCAUGUGCUUGUUCACAAAGCGGCUGCAGAGGACGUCCUUACAGCACAAACAUAACCAGUUCUCAUUGGGAUGCUGGCAUCUAGUAUAAACGAAAAUUGUUCCGCAGAUGUAAGAUGCUAGGCAUGAUUCAGGAAUCAGGCACUCGGACAAUGUAAAGCAUAAAGAAUCAACCGAAGCAUUCUACAGAUCUUUGUAAUUCAACAACUCGAAGAUUCUAUUGAAUUAGAAAACUUAAAAUGUUCUUUCGUUUGAAGUUCUCUUUCAAUCAAUGGCACUUACAAUAAACAGAAGCAUAAAGAAUGAUUGCUUUCGAACUAGGCCAAGAUUGCUUUCGAUUCCUAUCACAACUAAGCAACCACGGUACAAAAAAACAAAUUGGUGAUAUGAUCUUGUAUGAUGUACACAAACUACAGUUGAUUUAAACUAGCAGAUCGUUGUGCUGUAGAUGAGGCACCUCGAUCAGCACACUUCCAACAAUUAGCUAGGAAUAACAAUGCAGUUCCCUCCGCCAACCGAAACAAUUAGCUAAGAAUAACGAUGCAACUCCCUCCGCCAACCGAAACAAUUAGCUAAGAAUAACGAUGCAACUCCCUCCGCUAACCGAUAAAAAAAGAAUGUAAGAUUCCUUGUGGGUAAGAAUUAUAUAACUUUUAUCUUAUUUUUGCAAAUCUUAUGACAAUCAAUAGUAGCAUUCAUCCAUAUGUUUCAGAAACACCAUACAAAUUGAGAAAGCAGACCCUCAACCUUAAGGAGAUGGAUUAUGUAUAUGCUAAGUAAAAAUAUUCAGUGAUCAAAAGCUGAAUCAAGAACUGGGUAAGAUUGGCACGAAUCCAACAACACACAAUUAAAAAAGAUUUGAAUGAAUUGACCAAAAAAAGAAGAAGAAGAAUUGAAUAGGAACCUGUUGCAGGCAGUAUCAGGAGUGGGAAUGUGAGCGAGAUCAGACGACAGGGAAGCAAGGUGAUCGCAAGAUGUUCGGGCCUCGACCCAACCCGAUUCAGCUCCAUAAAAUAAAUCUUCCUCGUUUUCUAGAAAUUGGUCCUCCUGAUUCACAUAAUUGACAAUAACCCUUUGUUUUAAAUUUCAAAAUAAUCAAGAUUUCGGGUUCAGCCAAAGCGUAAAGUGAUCGAUUUUACCUGCGCAGAAGAAGAACCAGCUUGGGCUGCCAUGGAUGAACACCGAGAGAGUCUCACUCUGGACAAAGUUGAGGACUUCUGCAAAAAUUUUACUCCCAGGCCGCGGUUUAUGCAUUACCUUGGGUUAAUUACAAGGGAGCUGCUGGACUCACACUAUAUUAUAAUCCCACCCCAUAUCUGGGGUUAAUUACAAAAUUUUCAUCCUAUUUUUUCACCCAUAUUAUAAUCUCCCUCACUAUAAAGGUUAAAAAAUUGAAAUGAUAUUUUCCCGCUCACAAUUAUUCCUCAAAUAAUCUCUAAUAUAAAUCUAAAGUUAUAAACUCGUCUCUUAGAAAAAAGAGUAUAACAAAUAAUAUAUAAAAUUAAAAUAAAGGACAUGAUCAUGAGAAUUUCAUCUGUUUCAUCAAACACAAAAAAAUUUACAUAAUUGUUUCAUAAUAACUGUAAACACGGAAAAUUCCUGAAACGAAAGAGACAAGAACAACGUGCACAAACAAAUAUUUGUAUUUUUUGAUGAUUUUGGGUUACAAUCUCUCUCUAAUUUGAUCAUCUGAUUCGAUCUCCGUAAGGUGUGUAUUUGUGGAUGUGCGAUUGAUCCAAGGGCCGUCGAGGUUUGAUCUUGGAUGAACGUUCUUUAAGGGUCGUGGGCUUGAUCUUUGAGAGUGGAUUUGAGCGGAUCUUCAAGGGCUUUUGGGCUUGAUCUUGAAGAGACGGUGAUGAACAGAUCUUCAAGGGCUUUUGGGCUUGAUCUUGAAGAACGGUUGGAUGUGUAUGGAUUUGUCGACGUUGUUGAUCCAAAGGGCCGUUGGGGCUUGAUCUUGGAUGAACGGAUGAUGAACGAUGGUGCUUUCUUCAAGGGUCGUCGGGCUUGAUCUUGAAAGAGCGAUGAACGAAGAACGAAGAACACUUUCUUCAAGGGCCGUCGGGGCUUGAUCUUGAAUUGGUGGAUGAUUGUUGAUCCAAAGGGCCGUUGGGGCUUGAUCUUGGAUGAACGGAUGAACGAUGAACGAAGAACGAAGAACGAAGAACACUUUCUUCAAGGGCCGUCGGGGCUUGAUCUUGAAUUGGUGGAUGAUUGUUGAUCCAAAGGGCCGUUGGGGCUUGAUCUUGGGAUGAACGAUGAACGAAGAACGAAUAGAGCUUUCUUGAUUCUUCGGGAACCUGGAUGCUUGAGAGCUUCGGAGUUUCAGAGCUUCAGAGCUUCAAGAAUUUUGCAUAAUGAUUUUGGUCCCUUCAAAUGAAUGAAAUGGGCUUGUAUUUAUAGAAUUUUCCAAUGCCUAAUUUUGAAUAUAAUAUCCCAGAUGAAAUAAGUCGUUUCUGCCAGGUGUUGACAUGUGUCUUAUUUGAUGACUUUUCCAACUCAUUUCAAUUUUCGUUGAGUCACACGUUACGUGUAAAAUUUAUGUAAUACAUGAGCGUUGACACUUUGAUUUAUCGGUCAACAUUUAUUUACCGAAAUUUCGAUGUCUACAAUAACAUAAGAAAAAUACAUGAUUGUUUCGUAUUAAGAAAAAAGUUUUACAUCACGUACUUUUUUUCCAGAGACCUAAUACAAAUUAAAGAAAACGUCUUGAAGCUUAAAUUGCAAACAAGUCUUACAAUAGAUCAAUCAACACAUAGAUAAUUAUAAAUUGUGGACAAGCACCCCACCGACUUUAAUUUUCAUCAAGCUUCACGGUCUCUCUAGUUAUGACAGUAAAUCCUAGAAUGGAUAUGAACUGUAGUAUACGAGCAAUGUACAGGGUAGUCCCUUCUAAAGACCAUGGUUUACUAUAUCCUACCUUAUUUGUGAUAAAUUCACUAGUAGAGUCCACUAUAUAUGUAGAUGCUAAAUUAGUACCAGAUUCAUUUACCUGCAAGGAAAAAAUGUAAUAAUAGGAUUACAUAAAAAUAAAAAAGAAUGAAAAAAGGAAUAAGAACGACAACUUUGUUGAUGAGUCCUGGUUGAAAUGAGACUAAUUUCCUAAUUAUCUUUGUUUUUUUCAUACGGAGAAGUCUUCAUUCAAUUAAAUUAUCUAAUCAAUUUUGUAAUCAAAUUUCAAUUGAUUACCAACUUCAAUGGAAAGGUAAAUAAAAUCUGUGCGAAUAAGAUUGUACUAAUUUUUGUUUAUUUUUCAAGAUAAAUAUCAUGAACAUGCAUAAGUAGACAUGAAAAAGUUGAAAUAUAUAUAUAUAUAUAUAUAUAUAUAUAUAUGAUUUUAAAAUGUUUUUCUUACAUCUUCAAUGAAAACGACAUAUUCUACCUUUUCAAUAGAAACAUUGUUUCCUACGGAAUUGGAUCCUCUCCGAGGCAAUGCCUCGAGAUCCUCCUGACCAGACAAUACGGACCAUUGGAUCAAAAUCCAACGGCUACAAACAAGGUGGUCCGUCUAAAAUUAUAAUUAUUGUAGCUGUUGGAUUUCCUACCUCUUUCAUUGUUAAGCUGUCUUCUACCAAUUCAAUGAAAACAUCAUUUUCCAUCUCUUCAAUGGAAACAUCAUCUUAUAUCUCUUCCAUGGAAACAUCAUCUUAUAUCUCUUCCAUGGAAAUGUCAUCUUCUACCUCUUAAUGAAACCGUCAUGUUCUAAGUUCAUUUUCUUUUUACUUUCUUUAUGUGAAAGGAGAUAGAAAGAUGAGUUAGGGUUUAAGAGAAGAUAAAUCGUUUAUGAAUAAAGGGCUGGAGUUAGAAUCUCGCCCAACCUUUUAAUUUUUUUAAAAAGAUAAAGCAAAAAGAUGGCGGGAGUUAGAAUUGCUCCUAUCCUAUUUUUAUUAUAUAUCUCGAAAGGUCUUUAUCAGUCAUUUUACAAAUGGGUGAACUUGUAAUUAAAAAUUGUUACGCCCCAAUCCCGACAUACAUCCAAGAUCGACACGUGACGUCACCAAGUAUCUGUAAAUCCAACAAACCCCGCCUCCGAGAUAUGUACAAAGCAUAAUUCAAGAUUCAAAUUGCGUAGUAAUUUUCAUAUACUUUAUGGCUGCAUCUAACCUCCUCGUUAGACUCCCCACGUACCCUAAAAAGGGAUCAAGUCAUUCGUAGUUCACCAUUCACUACACUCUGAUGUUUAUCAUAAUACGUUCAAGUAGAAAAGCAUAGCAUUCCUCAAUCAUUUAUUAGAACUCGACAACCACGAAAUUACUAGAUCUAAAGCUGCAUAACAAACCCACAUAUGAAAUUCCAGAUUCUCAUUCCAUCCAUCAUAUAAAUCACUAUGUUUUCAACAUGAUACCUCAAUCCACAAUGUGUAACAUAUCAAAUAACCAACGAAGCAUAGUAUUAUUCUCAAACCACAUUGAUUUACUAAUCUAUUCAUAAUAAUAACAAUCAUAUCCAACGUCACUCCACAAUCACGUCAAUUAAUCAAUUCCAUGAAUCAAAGAUGCAUGAUAUUAACGUCUGACUACAUUAAUCAAUUAAUGAAAUAACAUAUCAUUUCAUGAAUUUAAUUAAAGAACUCUACAUAAUUCCCUACUUGGAUUAUAAGUAAUAACAUGGUAAAUUUCAUUUAUAUUCACAAGAUCUAGUGUGGUUAAUCCCCAUUCACUCGAAUCUAGGGUCGGACUAACUUUAUGGAAAUGAGCAAGAGUAGGGAUUUCGGACCACUCAACGAAUCCAACCAAAAUAUAAUUGCCUAUUGAAAUGUACCAAGUACAACUAAUCCUCAUCACCCUUAGAAUGUGUACGGUCCCCCAUUGCGAAUAUACCAAGCAGAACCGUAGGCAUAAUCUCACCGUAUAGGCAGUGAUCACCCAUCAUGGAUAUACCAAGCAUGAUCACCCCUGAAUACGUAUGGUCCCCCAUCGCAAAUACACCAACCAAGACCACAUCCUAAUUCUAGGUAGUGAUCACCCAUCACAGAUAUACCAAGCAUGAUCACUCAUAGGAUACGUAUAGUCCCUCAUCGCAGAUAUACCAAGCAUGAUCACCCCUAACAGUCCCCUAUUGUGGAUAUACCAAGCAAGACUGUAUCCUAUAGCUCUAGGUAGUGAACACCAUUCGCAGAUAUACCAAGCAUGAUCGCUCAUAGAAUGCAUAUGGUCCCCCAUCAAGGAAAUACCAAACAGAACCAUAAGCAUAGUCUAAUCGUGCAUGCGGUGAUCAUCCAUCGCGAAUAUACCAAGCAUGAUCACCCCUGAAAUACGUAUGGUCCCCUAUCAUGGAUAUACCAAGCAGGAUCAUCCAUGUACCUCUGCUACAUGGUGCAAUUAGAUUAACACACAAUGCACUUACCUUUAUCUUAACAUCUAUGAUUUACAUCGUAAUCACUUACACUCUCAAUUCCUGCUAAUCACUAACUACCAUGUCACACAAGCCUAUAUGUUCUACAGAACAUUUCUAAUAGGAUUUUAGGCUCACAAUGUCAUAACAGUUAACAUACAUAUCAUUCAUAUUAUCAAGAAGAUAAAUAAACACAUAUAUAACACAAUAUGACGUCCCAUACACGUAAACCGAUGUAUAUACUAUCUGGGAUAACUCACUAACCAAUAUAGGCCCACUAAGUCCUACAUAGUCUCUAGUAAUAUUUAAGAUCAAUUCAUAGCAUAUUGACCAAAAGUCGAGUCUCUGUAAACAGUGGGAUACACAACCCUAUACAAGUCAAUCUGGAACAUUCGUCCAUGGAUUUCCGAUCCGUAAUUUCCCAAGGGUCUCAUUUAUCUUCUAGAACAAUAUUCUAAAAUUUUGGAAUGAUCCAACAGUCGGAUCUCCGCCAAUUGCUAGAAUUUGGUUGCUAUCAACGUUUGGUUUAACAAACUUAGAAAUUCAAUUUGGGAAGAUCCGUACAUCGGAUUCCUAAUCUGUCAGUUCAUAUGGUCCUCAAAUAUUACAUACUAUAACGUAUUAAGGUUUGGUAACGAUCCAACGGUCAGAUCAUCGAAUCAUAUAAUGAUCAAGUGGCGGUAAUAUUUAAUACUAGAUUCAAACUAUCGAGCCACACCAAAGGGAUAUCAAAACUGAAAUUAGAAUGUUGAAUUUUACUUAAAAAGGCAACAACGGCCCACUGACCAUGCACCACCGCGGGUGGCGGUUUUCAGUGAACGGAAACCCCAAAUUCCGACAAACUCUAAAAUUCACCAAAUUUUGCAAAAAUGUACAACUCAAUGAGAAGAACAAUUUUUGUACCUGGGCCGAAGUCCAUUUCGGCCGGGAAGACUCUUGAAUUCACCUCGAUCCGCCGAAACUCUAGAAUUAGGUGUUUUUUGAAUCGCUGCCAAAUCGAACCCCGACUCUUCAACUGAUGAUUGGGCAUGAUUCACUAGAAGAGACGACCUGAUUUGGCUAUUUUUUCUCCUUCUCUCCUUUCCCUCCUUUUUUCUCUUUCUGAUUGGUCACCCCCUCCCUUAUUUUCUCUCUCGCAUCUCUCAUUUUCCCCUUUCUCUUGCUGCCACCUGGCAGCUUCUAAUCAUUUUAUUUAUUAUUAUUAUUACUAGCAUAUGGGCACACACAAAGUGUGUAAGAAAUUUUUUUUAUUUUUGUUUUGAAAUAGAAGGAGAGAGGAAGAGAGUGAAAGAGAAUGUGAGAGUGGGAAGUUUUAUUUUUUUAUUUUUUUAUUUUAAUUUUUUUAAUUAGAGAUAUGUUAGGAUUACAUGUAUGUGAGGCUUUGAAAAAAAAAGCAAAAUUUGGUUGUAUGAAAUUACAUUUCUACCCCAUAUUUCUUAUUCAUAUUCUGUUUUAAUUAGAGAGUUAAACUGGUAAUUUCAUAGGGUUUUGGUUAACAAUGAGUGUUUUAUUAAUUAGUAGAGAUUAUAUAUAUAUAUAUAUAUAAUUUUUUUUUUUUCAAACACUAAAACGUCUCUAAUUUCUUCAUUUCAAGUCCGAUUUGCAAACAGUUUUUGCAUAUGUGCUCGUAGGAUCAAACUCUAUCCAAUUAUACUUAGUGUGAUCCCAUAAAGUCCAUGAUUUUUUAAUGAUUACUGACCAAAAUUCAAACUUCGUAAUUAGUUUAAUUAAAAUUUAAAGUUAAUAUAAAUUCCCAAAAAUAAUAUAAAAUCUCCUUAAUACAAAUACGUAGUUGCAAUAGUGAAAUCCAGGAACAGGAUUUCACAAAAAUUUUCAUUAAACAUUGAGCGGGAAGAUAAGACAAUGAGGUGGGAAUAAUAACAUUCAUUACACAUUUGCACCUUGAAGUUUUAGAAUAACUUUUGGUCUUGAUAUUUGAUCCUUAAAUAUCUUUUUUCUACUCAAGUUAGUCCUUAAGCUUGUAAACACGGAAAUUCUUGCGAUGAACGAGACAAGCACACGUGUACAAAAUAAUAUUUGUAUUGAUGAUUUAGGGGUUACAAUCUCUUCUACAAAUUUAGCCUCUGAUUCUAUCUUUGUAACGAGUGGAUUUGAUGUUGUUGAUCCAAAGGGCCGUUGGGCUUGAUCUUGGGAUAAACAAUUGUGCGGAUUUGUUGACGUUGUUGAUCCAAAGGGCCGUCGGGGCUUGAUCUAGGGAUGAAUGAAUGAUGAAUGAUGAACACUUUCUUCAAGGGCCGUGGGGGGCUUGCUUUUGAAUGAGGAUUUGACGAAGAACGAAGAGAGCUUUCUUGAUUCUUCGGGAUUUGCUUGGGAGCUUUGGAGUUUCAAAGCUUCAAGGUUGUGGUGUGAGGUGAAUUGGUUAUGAAUUGGUGUCCAAAAAUGAAUGCCUUGGCCUCCUAUUUAUAGAAUUCCAAAACUUGAUUUUCUUGGAUUUAAAUAAUCAGAUGAAAUAAAUCAUUUCUGCCAGGUGUUGACACGUGUCCUGGUUGAUGACUUUUCCGAUUUAUUUUGAUUUUUCGUUUAGUCACAUAAAAUUUAUAUGACACAUAAACGUUGAAAUUUUAAUUAUUGAUCAACAUUUAUUUUACUGAAAUUUCGAUGUCUACAAAUGCCCCCACUUCAAGGCGCGUCGUAUACAUGUGCUUGUCAAGUGUAGAAGAUGCGUUUUGAAGUCCUUUACUGCAGAUGUUGAUCCAAGGGCCGUUGAUGCUUGAUUUUGAACUGGGUUGGUAAUUUCUUCAAAGGCCGUUGAGGCUUGAUCUUGAAGGUUGAAAUUAGACCACAAUGAGCUUCAUGUGGUAGAUGAUCUUUUGCUUUGGUAGUGGGUGAAUCGGCACGUAUUUUGUUGCGCUUGUUGACUUUCCACAUCUUUGAUCUUGAACUGGUUCGGAGGAGUUUUUUGUUUCCUCCAAUUGUUGACCUUCCAAAGGCUUAUUCUUGAACUAGGUUGGAGGAUUUUCUGGUUUCCUCCAAUUGUUGACUUUCCACAGGCUUAUUCUUGAACUGGGUUGGAGGAUUUUCUGGUUUCCUCCAAAGGAUUUUCCACCGACUUAUUCUUGAACUGGAUUUGAUUCAAGGGUGGUGGACACUUGAUCUUGAAUCGGACUUGUGAUUUCUUUAAGGGUCGUCGAGGCUUGAUCUUGACUUUGGCUGGAAGCUUUUUUAAGGGCCGUUGAGACUUUGAUUCUUGAAGGUUGACUCAAACACAUGGCAAGCAGUCACAAGGUGAAGGUGAUGGCCUGUUUCUUUGUUCAAUCUUUCUAAUUCACACCUGAGCAGUUUGGUCAACGGUAUGAUCUUCAAGAGUGAUGGGCGCUUCUUCCAGUUGGUGACUUGAUCUUUAAGGAUUUUCGAGACUUUGCUCUUUGGCGAUAGUGCCAGCGAAAGGUUGUUGAAGCUUCUCAAGCUCUUUGAUUAUAGCAACGAUGGCAGGCUUGGAUUUGACUUAGACCUAUCCGUCUGGAUUAUGCAGUUCUGCCGAGAAGGGUGUACUGCCAUAAUGAUUUGUUCCGAUUCAUCGUGCUGCGUUUUUUUUCUUUGCUUGUUUCUUUCGCCUAGCCGAAGUGGUGUGCAACCUUUUGCCUUUAAAUGGUCCUUUAGAGCAUCACUUUUCAGCCACUCAUCCAUGCUUGGCAGCUUCAGUGUAAAAAGCCAACACCAUAUCAACUGUUUUUGAAAUAUUUGCUGAGGAAAUUCGAGAUCCGUCAACAGUUGAAGAUGAGUACUCGAGAGCAACGCUAGGUAAGCAACCAGGCAAAGGUUCCGGGCAAUCAGUUCCUGAUCGGACGUUUAAUUUCAGGUUCCGACUGAUUGCUUCCUUUCUCCCUGUUCUGCAGGCAAGAACAAGGGCAAAUGAAAGGAUAGGGAAAAAGCAUGAUAUGAGAUACCUUUGCUUUCAACCCCGAUGAUAUGAGAUACUUUUGCUUUUGAAGAAGUAGCAGAUGAUCAGCACAUUUAUUUGUUGAGCUUGUCUCCACAUGCUUCGAUGCAUCAUUUUCACUCGCCUCUUCUGUUAUCCCAGCAGAUGUGGUAUCUUCUCUAGAAACAUAAGAUGUUGAGAUAAUGGGUACUUCGAGAGCAGUGCUAGGUGAGCAAUCAUGAAAGGUUCCAAGCAGUCGGUUCCUUACUAGGAGCUUGAGUGGAGGUUCCGACAUAUUGCUUUCUUUAUCCUUUUCUUUGUAGGUAAGAACAAGGACAAAGGAAAGGACAAGGAGAAAGCAUGCUAUGAUAUAUUCUUGCUCUCAACCCCAGUGAUAUGAGAUACCUUUGCUCCGGUGUGACUUGGUUGAAGAGGCGUUUCCAGGGAGGAAGAAAACUGAGUGUGUCAAGAGGUUUUAGUUGGAGAUGUAUUCUUGGCAAGGAAAAAGAGUUAGGCGUUUGUAUUUUCAGGGAGGAAGAAAACUGAGUUUUGGUUGCGGAUGCAUUCGGCAAGGAAGAAGAGAAGUUGGAUGUGUGUCUUGCUAUAGAGGAUGGAGGUCGAAUUAUAUGGUAAGCUUCCAACAGCAAGUGGCAGGGUGGACGUGGCCUUGUCACCCAUGCUUUGUUGGACUCCACACGUUUUCAACUUUGUCAGUGCUCUCUGGCAAAGUUGCACGUGAUAGCCGAAAGCUGAAACUACGUCUGAAAAGUGUUGACGGAUUUUACGCAGGAAAAUCCGGGUUUUGAAAUUCGAAGAGUGGCGUCUCUUCGAUUUUUUUUUUUUUUUUUUUUUUGUGAACAAGUGGUUGUGUUGCUUCUUCUUUUUAAAGAGGUGUCAAUUGCAUUCAACAUGCACACUUUGAAGAUUGCCCACCUUUGACAAUUGUCUUUGCUGUAUUUAUGAGAUUUUACUCACUUUAACCAUUUUCUUUUACCAUCUUUUUGGAAAUGGCUAACCCGUCUAACAUUUGCUUAGAUUUGAGUCUCAGCAGUGACGCAGGUGCACCGCGUCAGGGUAAUAUAUGGCGCCCGUCCUUUUCAUCUCCUAAUGGCCCUUUUACAGUUAAAGACUCUGUAAUGAGGGAUGCGGCAACAGCUACGGUUGUAGCUAAGAACCUUAUCACUCCUAAAGAUAAUAGGAUACUUUCACGACGGUCUGAUGAGUUAGCUAUUUGAGAGUCUCAGGCUCUCGGUGUCCAGUGUGCGAACUCUGUUUCCAACAUGGGCCAACGCUUACUUGUUCGAACUCGCCAAGUUGAAUCAUUGACAGCCGAGGUGGCAGCUCUCAAUCAAGUGAUCAGACAGCUCAAGCACGAUAAUAGAGAGUUGCAUGUGCUUGCAAAUAAUUAUUCGACGAGCAUGAAGAGGAAGCUUGAUCAGUUGCUGGACUCCGAAGGUCGGAUUCAAAGUGACAAUCGGAGAUUUGUGGAUGUAUUCUAGAGACACCUUUUGCCUUCGUCAUCUGGAGUUCGACCAAGUAUUGAGGCUCCAAAUAAUCCAUCUCCAGUGCCUCCCUCUUCCAGGGUUCCGCCGAGUACUAAGGCUUCAAGUACUGAGGCUUCGCAUGAGUGACAUUUGUGAAGGCUCCCUUUUUUUAUUUAUUUAUUAUUUAACAGUAACUGGCACUUUUUUUUAGUUGGCACUUUCUUUUUGUACAUAAUCAUAUUUUCCCAGUGCACCAUUUAGGGUAGCUGGCACUUUUUUUUAGUUGGCACUUUCUUUUUGUACACAAUCAUAUUUUCCCAAUGCACUAUUUAGGGUAGCUGGCACUUUCUUUUAGUUGGCACUUUCUUUUUGUACACAAUCAUAUUUUCCCAAUGCACAAUCCCAUCACCUCUCAUUUUGGUUUAUCUUUUCCAGGCACGGGUGGUCGUUUGCACAGUUUGCACAGUCACCUUAUCACAUUCUUUUGCUUAUGUGGGUCAGUGAUGCUUGAAAGAUCAUCAUGGACUGCACAGUCACGGACCUGCAUUUGAAUAGUCACCGCAUUUCAUUUGCUUCUCAGGAGACCAUUAUUUAUACAUAUAUGGGAUUGCUCCUUUGCUUGUACACUCAUUACACAGCUUCAGCCAUUGCGUUGCUUGUUGCCUUGAAUCGCCAUUGCACAUAUUUUUUAUUCAUUUAUUUUUAUUUAUUUUAAUUUUUUUGUAUGAUUUAUAUAUAUAUAUAUAUAUAUAUAUAUAUAUAUAUGUAUGUAUGUAUGCGCAGCAUCGGACGAAAGGCGGCCACCUGCAGCGGGAAAGGAGAAGCUGGAGGUACUGAGGCGGUGCAAAGCGUCGAGCUUCACGAUCGGCUAGUCAUUUGACAGCGGUCGUUGAAGUUUUUUUAUUUUUUCGAUUCAAAUGCAGCAGCAGAGGCAAGAAGAUAGAGGAGGUCUUUGGGUGUGAGUUGACAAACUUUGGUUUUGUCAAUCACAUUCAAAGGCAGCAGCCAUGACGGAGGUGCAGAAGCAGCUAGAGCUUGAGGCAGAGUGUAAGGCGUCGAGCUUUAUGACCGGCUAGUCGUUUGACGGCGAUUAUUGAAGUUUCUUUGUCGAUUUUGAUCAUGGUGGCCAAAGUGAAGAUAAGGGACUCGCAUGCUUGGAUACAUGAGCAUGGAGGGCACAGACGGAAGUGCGUUGAGGGCUGAAGGAGAAGGCGAGGAGAUAGAGGAAUAAGUUCCACCGUCACCACUUAUGCUUCACGACUGCACAGAGUUGCUUACAAUGUUUUUUUUUUUUUCAUUGAGACACUCUAAGCCUACUUUUCUAAUUCCCAAAACAGAGAACUUGCUAUGACUGCAUCGUAACGUAGAAGAGGAUCCCGCCAUGAGUUAUCUUUCUCGAAAGUCAAAACCAGUGCUGUCAUCUUCUUCUGUUCACUCAACUCAGUGGGGAAAAAUUACUCAUCAAGACCUUUGGGGUUGGUGAUGAGGAUGUUCCACGGAAAGCUGCAAGAAGAGGAACCCAGCAACCCACAGUUUCGCUUGAACUAGCUGUUUGGAUUUUAAGCUGCCGCCCUAUUUGAACUCGCAACAGCACAUCUUCACGUCAACCAGAGGUAGCACGACAAGCGGUUCCAGGCCUAACUUCAUUCUCUUUCAGCACCUCGUAGCAGUGACCCACAUGGACUUCAACCCCUCAAAGUUACUGAACCCUCACCAAAAUCCAAAUCCAGAAGAAAACGAGGUCUUUAUCUUUGCAUAUGCGCUAAUCCACCAGGCGCAGCAAAGGUUUCGAGGCUUGGAGACAGCGCAAAUGAUGGGUUCGAGAUCUGGCUUCUGACUGCUAUCAAGCACAUUUUAAAACGCCAAGUGCGUCGGUUCAAGACGGAGAGUAUGAAGCUUGAAGUUGUGGGUUGGGUUUAGUUGUGAGGUCUCGUCCUUGGUAUGAGUGGCGGAACCGAUUGGGCACAAUGAGAAGCACGUGAUCGGGAAACAAGAUUCGAUCUUAGACUCGAAACGACGGCGACGACUCUUUGUUGUGCUUGUUGUGGGCUGUGAAUGACUCGAGUAUCGAGUUGCUGGCGGUGGAGGUCGAUGUGUACCAUGGUUGAUCACCUUGAAAACUUACGGUAGCCAUAUCGAAAGUUGCGCCAGGCGGAAGGCCCCAGUGACGUUCUUGUUGAGCAAAGAGGGAGAAUGAGCUUGGCAUCGAAACUCUCAUGAAACUUUCGAAGCCAUGUGGUUGAUAGCAGCUGUCAAUUUUCCAAAGACAUUUGCAGUGCUACAAAACCUAACGGAGAUCCUACCAAAACACAGCAGCUUCAGGUGCUACGGAUUCAGGGUUCGUUCUUAACCUUCGCUCUGAACGGCGACUUGAUCGCGUAUAAUCCAGAUUUGGACGGGAACAGGGGAAUCAAAAUCGUCAAAUUGGACGGCUCAAAUUGCUAGAAUUUGAUCAAGCUGGGGGUACUGGACCGACUCGUGGCCUGUGGUGGGCUUGUUGGCGGAGGAGUGCUUCUGAAUCCAGAUCUUGUGCGUCUGCAGGUCUUCCUUUUGUUUGUGGGUGACUCUGCCACUUUCAUGAGAGGAAGAAGACGGAGGUUGUGCAGGGCGUUGAGCUGUUGCGGCUGUUGUUCUCACGGCGUUGAAGAAUGAUCUCGGAGAAGGUGAGAGGAUGAGCACGGGAAGAAGAUGUGGUGUGAUGGGAGAUUCAACUGGACCUAGCAGAAAGAUUGAGGCCCGUGUCUUUGGAGGGACAUGGCCUAGCAUGGGCUGCGGCCUGGAUUUGGAAGGAGAAUACCCAAUUUUUGUUUUUGACGAUGUUGAUAUCGACAAGGCUGCUAAGUGGGCUGCCUUUGGUAUUUUAUUUUAUUUUUUUUUUUUUGAACAGGACGGCUUCUUUUGAUGGGCUUGCCACAGAUUGGGCCUGGUGUUGCUUUGGGGUACAUAUAUAUAUUUGUUUCUCUUUUUCUUUUUAUUUUUUUUAUUUUUUAUAAAUACAUAAUAACAUAUGUAUUCAAUUUUUUUUUCAAAGAAACUGUAAUUUAAUUUUGUACAAAGAAAAUUGCAAAUAAAUUUGUAAUAAGAUUGACCUUCAUCAAUGAUACUUUAAUAAAGCCUUUUGUUUUUUUUUUUUUUGAAUGUGAAUGAACUCGAAAUUGAAUGCUCGAGUUGCUUACGUACCCUUCCAAAGAAGAGAUCAAGUCGAAACGUAGUUCAAAUGAACGAUGAAUUUAGCACUGAUUUUGAUGAUGAUUUUGCCAUACACAGUUAUCCUCUUGUGGGCCAUGAGCAUUUGUUGUCCCCUUUUAUGCUCGUGCGGACAAUGAGCGUUAGGUGUCGGUUUGUUAAGUGAUCCGGGAGAGUCCCUCGCAAUCUUCAUAGCAAGGAGCCUUGACCGAGUAGUUGAAGAAGUCUUCUGGGAAGAGGUCACACAUUGCGAUGGGAAUGGAUGAUCUUUGUGUCAAAGUUUCGUUAUCUCCAACACUUUCAUAUUGUUCUGGAGGUUGACAGGAGCUGUUUUGCCCCCUUUCCCAUUGGUGAACUUGUGGAAGAGACGGUUGCUGCCUGAAGAGGAGUUCCUCAUAAUCUUUAUAGUAAUGAGCCUUGACCGAGUGGCUGAAUAAUUUUAUGAGGAAUAAGAGAUCACGCAUGGUCGAUCUUUGUGUCAAAAUUUCCUCAUCUUCAACACUUUCACAUUGCUUUGGAGGUUGACGAAAGUUGCUUGGCCCCUUUUCCGAUUGGUGCACUUAUGGAGAAGACAUGAGCUUCUUGUGCAGUUUCUUCGGAGUGACAUGAGUCCAUCCUUCUUCACUUGGCUUGGAGCAUGCCCCCAACGUUCGAGGUGAAUACUUUGAGUCGAAAGAGCCAAAAGUGACGUAUUCCUGAGGGAUUUCAUAUUCUUUGUCUUUUUGGAUUUGUUGGCGUGAAGAUUGGCCGGUGUGGAUAAUGGUGCGCCUUUUUACUUUCAGUGGUCCAUUUGUGUCAACCUUCAAAGUUGCUUGGUGCUUCAUCCUUGAAAGAAUUGAGCUUCGAAUAUCGCCUUUUUUUACUAGCCUGUCGAGCUUUUCUUCCUUUGAUGUUGUUUCCCUAUUUCCAGAAAACUUCAUGUUGUCUUCAAGUCUUUCCAAAGCUGACUGACGAGGAGGAGAGCUAGCCGUGUUCCUUUGCUUCUUAGGUUUUGACAACCUUUAAAAAACAGAGCUUUGGGAUGUUGGCCUGGUAAGCCUCUUGAAGACGGAGGUUCGGUUUUGACCACCAAUGCGAUCCAGUGCUGACGUUCUGGGUCUUGAACGAUUCAUCCUAUCGAAGAUUGACGUCCGAGGGGAGGACUUAGGCUCCUCUUGAUCUUGUUCGAUGCUCACGCUGAUGUGUUGAGUGCUAGCAUUUUUUGCUUUGCUUGAAAUCUUCACGGGUGCAUUUGGUGUGAAGCCAAGUCCAACUUUGUCAUUGUCAACUCCGUAUUCAUGCUUCUUCAACUUCUUUUGAGUCUCAGUGAGGUCACGUUCUUUAUUGUUGACAGCGUUUGAAACCUUCUUCCCAAGAUUCGAAGAAGAAGCGAAGUCGUACCCAGCUUUUGACAUGAGUUUGUAGGCGUUUGGAUCAAAACCUUCUUCGGUCCUCUUGGUUGGGAGAAAGCUUGGUUCCACCCCCUUUGGUAGAGCUUUUACGAAGCCUUGUGGUAAUCUUGCAACCUUAGCGUUGCUUAGCUGUGUCAGAGGUAAAACAGCAUUCGUCUUGAGCAACUUUACAUUAUCCAUGUACCGUUGUGCAUCGGCUUUGCUUGCUUCAGUUUCGAAUGGGGAUUGACCAUUCUUUCUUCUUGACAUCGGGAUGUAUCGGAAAAUGGGUGUGUUUAGUCCAUUUGAGGGCGUCAUACUCCCUUUGGUUGUUGCAGGUUUAGCAAGCUCAUCAUCGUUCUUGCUUGAAGACGACAUGGCUUCUUCUUCUUGCUUCUUGGGCAUGGCUUGCCACUCCUGCUUUUUAGGUGUUACUUUGCCCGUGGAUUUGAUCUCUUUUGGAAGAGCUUCGAGCACCAUGUCUUCAUCCAUAUAGAACUUGGCGUCUGCGAAAUGUGAUUCGGCUUCAAUGAAUGGUUUGGUGUCGCCAUAGAUCACCUUCACUCCUUCUCGGUAGAAUUUCAAGCAUUGGUGAAAGGUGGACGGUACUACUCCAUUUGCAUGGAUCCAAGGUCUUCCUAAGAGCAAGCCGUAAGAAGUUCUUGCAUCAAUCACGUGGAAUAUCGUGCUUGACUUGAGUUCACCAAUAGUCAUAUCCACUCGGAUCAUGCCCAUCGCUUUUUGUCCUCCUUGAUUAAAACCUUGGAUUAGUAGACGACUUAGGGACAGUUCAUCCGCCUUGAUGCCGAUUGUAGUCAUUGUUGACUUUGGCAUGAUGUUUAUGGCUGAUCCACCAUCCACAAGCAUGCGGUUGACUUUGUGCUCCCUUACGUACCCCGUACCCAGAGACGAAGAGAUGACGGUUGUGAGGCUUGGAUCCUAGCAGCAAGUCUUCGUCGGUGAAAUGGAUUGCGUCCUCGAUGGCACAGCAUGUGGCCGAAGCUUAAAGCCUUCGUUCUUGCUUUCUUGCACUUCGUGGUCAUUGGGACUUUCCAAGAUCGCUGCUAAUGCUAUUGACAUCUUCUUUGGUAAUCGUAGCGCUUCCUCAAUGCUAAAGUGUGUUGGCAGACCUUCUUCGAGCGUGAGAGUUUUUUCUCCCUCAAUGGUGAUAUUUUUGCCUUUUGAAGGUUCUUCUAUUUCUACUUCGACCAUGUGGCAUGCAGCGAUAGUGCACUGUUGGAAGAAGUCAUUUAGGAAGUACUUGUGCAAUGAGACAGGAAUGCGUGGCUCUUGCUCCAUAGGUUCCCCAGCAUACGUUGGCUUAUCAACUUUUACGUUUCUUUUGGGCUUCCUACUGUUGGCGACGGUGCUUUCUCACUUAUUCCACCUUCUGUCUUAUGACUUGUGGUUUUGGUUUCCUUGUUUUUUUGUAGGUCACCAAUGUCCAUCAUUUUUCAUCAUCGGUAUGUGCAUCUUGUUCGUUUGCCCCCGGCGAUGGUUGCGUAGAAGGUAUCGUGCAACUUGAGCAUUGAUAGGAAUGGUCAGGUGCUGCUUGGAGAGGCACGGGAUCGAAAGAUCCAAAUGCAAUUGUAAUAGUAUGUGUUGCGACCGUGUCUUCGAGGUCGAGCUUGAUUCGCCCUUGUUGUGCUAGUUUCAUGAUGAGCUCUUUGAGGACGAAGCAUUUACCCACAUGAUGACUCACGAUUCGAUGGUACUUGCAGUAUUUAGGAUCGUUUAUGCGAUUCAUUUCUUCAGGCCGCUUGCAUUCGGGUAGCUCGAUUACCUUCUUUUCUAGCAAGUCGUCUAACAUUGCAUCCAUGUCUGAGUCAGGAAAAGGGUAUUCUUUAUGCUCCAAUUCCCUCAAGGUGCUUUUGUACCUUUCUUGGGUGCGAGGAGGCUCACUUUUCUUUAUCUCCUUUGCUUUGGUUUUGGAGGAGAUCUUGAUAGGCGCGGAGGCGGUCUUGACGGGCGCAGUGCUGACGGUGAACGCUUCAUUGGGGGGUUUCUUCCCAGUCUUGUCUACAUUUGGGGAGAACACCUUAUCUUUCUUGAAGUCGGUGAUCGGCUUUUUCUUCCCGUGAUGGGCAAUACUUAGCUCUAUGUCAUGGGCACGGGUGGCUAACUCUUCAAAUGUCCGUGGUUUGAUGCCUUGAAGGAUAUAGUGUAACCCCCAUUGCAUGCCUUGGACGCACAUCUCGAUCGAAGAGAUCUCCGAGAGCCUGUCCUUGCAGUCGAGGCUCAGAUUGUGCCAUCGGUUGAUGUAGUCCACGACUAGCUCAUCCCUCCAUUGCUUCGUGCUUGUCAGCUCUAGCAUGCUCACGGUGUGGCGGGUGCUGUAGAAGCGGUUGAGGAAUUCCUUUUCCAAUUGCUCCCAAUUGUUGAUGGAUUCAGGCUCUAGGUCCGUGUACCACUUAAAGGCAUUUCCUUUCAGCGAGCGUACAAACUGCUUAGCGAGGUAAUCUCCUUCUGUCCCCGCGUUGUUGCAAGUCUCAAUGAAAUGGGCGACAUGUUGCUUCGGGUUUCCUUUUCCAUCGAACUGCAUGAACUUUGGUGGCUGAUAACCCAUUGGCAUUUUCAAAGCGUCAAUUUUCUUGGGGUAGGGUUUUGAGUAUAGUACGGAGUCAUGUGAAAUUCCUUCGUACUGUGCCUUAAUAGUGCUGGCGAUCAUCUCUUGCAGUUGUUGGAUAGAAAGAGGUCCCGUGAGUGCCGCUGCUUGGCCUGGUUCCGGCUUCACAUCGAUUUUCUCCACUGGAGGCCCUUCAUCCUCGUCGUUUUCUUUCUUUACUGAAUCAUCCCCUUGCUCGAUUUUCAAGUCAGGCUUUACAUCUAGUUGGUUGACGAGUGCAGCGAUUUGCUGGUCUUUUUCUUCCACAAUCCGUGUUAGCCUUGCGAUCGCUUCAUUCAUAUGAGCCAGCUGCUCAUCUAUUGAAGUAGCUCCAGUAGUCAUGACUUGCAUGGCUGAGCUGCCGCUUGAGUUGACAUCGGAAAGAGUGGAACCAGAGUACUUCCUUGGGCUUUCCUUCCUUGGCGCCCUUAGUGAGGCCAGGGUAAUCACAGGUUCGUGCCUCGGGUGCUCUUGUUCCUUUGGCGGAGUUGAUGUAGGGGUAGAAGAGGCGGCAGAAAGAGCUCUUGCCUUGCUUCGAGUUAUGACGCCCGAAGUGACACCGCCUGCGGUGAUGACGCUCUUGUUCCUUGCAUUGGCUGCGAGAACAACUUGAGCCUUCUUUGAUGCCAUUUGUGCUUUUUGCGGAUUCAAAGAUAGAGAUGAGAGGUAGAGAUUGUCCCACUGGGCGUGCCAAAUUUGUAAACACGGAAAUUCCUGCGAUGAACGAGAAAGAACACGUGUACAAAAUAAUAUUUGUAUUGAUGAUUUAGGGGUUACAAUCUUUUCUACAAAUUUAGCCUAUGAUUCUAUCUUUGUAACGGGUGGAUUUGAUGUUGUUGAUCCAAAGGGCCGUUGGGCUUGAUCUUGGGAUAAACAAUUGUGCAAAUUUGUUGACGUCGUUGAUCCAAAGGGCCGUUGGGCUUGAUCUUGGGAUAAACAAUUGUGUAGAUUUGUUGACGUCGUUGAUCCAAAGGGCCGUCGGGGCUUGAUCUAGGGAUGAACGAAUGAUGAACACUUUCUUCAAGGGCCAUGAGGGGCUUGCUUUUGAAUGAGGAUUUGACGAAGAACGAAGAGAGCUUUCUUGAUUCUUCGAGAUUUGCUUGGGAGCUUUGGAGUUUCAAAGCUUCAAGGUUGUGGUGUGAGGUGAAUUGGUUAUGAAUUGGUGUCCAAAAAUGAAUGUCUUGGCCUCCUAUUUAUAGAAUUCCAAAACUUGAUUUUCUUGGAUUUAAAUAAUCAGAUGAAAUAAAUCAUUUCUGCCAGGUGUUGACACGUGUCCUGUUUGAUGACUUUUCCGAUUUAUUUUGAUUUUUCAUUUAGUCACAUGUUAUGUGUAAAAUUUAUAUGACACAUAAACGUUGAAAUUUUAAUUAUUGAUCAACAUUUAUUUUACCGAAAUUUCGAUGUCUACAAAGCUGUUUAGAAGUGUUUUUAAUGAGGAAAUAAUGGUGUUUGCUACAAAAGUUGAUAUGCUUGAUCACGAGAAGGUCUUCCAUAAUGAAGUCAAAUUAGGAGGGUUGUGAAAGGAAGGUGGGGUCAAAAGUGGGUUAGAGUGAGCAUGACAAAUUUGGGGGUGGAGUACGUGAGUGAAUUUUGUGUCUAGAGUCGCACAAAAACGUGGUCCAGUUGCUGGACCACAUAAUUUCUCCCUGAUCACAUGCCUAACUCUUAUGGAUAUUGUAUGACUUGGCUAGGGGUUAUGGUAAAGCUGCACAUUUCAUCAGACUAUCUAUUUGAAGAUUUUUAAGACGGACAAUCAAUAAUCGACAAUGUAAAUGCAUUAGUUAUAGAGAGAUAGAGUGAUUUAGGAAACCCCAUUGGAUUAGUUCGAAUUUAAGCAACUUAUCAAUUAUUGCAAUCAAAAUAAUAAACUAUAUUAAUCGGUUCUCAACUCUUCUCAAGCAAACGUUGAUCUGAGAAGGAAGAAAAACCCAUCCCAAUAGGUUUGAAUUGGACAGGUUUUCAAUUUUUUAGGACCUAAACUUUAUGUCCACUUUUGUAAUGAAAGUCUUUAAUUGGCCUCAACUCAAGAGUUUAAUUGACAAAUUUAGGAUAAAAUAUGUUGGUUUUUUAGCCAAAAUGGUCUGUGAAAUUUGUAUAAUUCUUCACCUUGGUCUUUGAGAUUUGAAAUCAAUACAAGUGGUCUGUGAGAUUGCCUACCAUCUAUCAUUUUGAUCAUUCCUGAAUAGUUAUGUUAAAUAAAGAUUUGAAUGACAAAACUAUCCGUAAUUUAAUAAACAAUAGACGAAAAUGAUUUGACAAAAAAUUAAAGGUAUUUUUGUUAUUUUAUUCUUAUUUAAUGAAGAUUUUUCACGAAAUGAGCAAAAUGAUUGAUUGUGAACAAACUAAUGAACAAAUUUUAUCGAUUUCAAAUCUCAAAUAUCAAAAUGAAGAGUUAUGCAAAUUUAAGGACCAUUUUGGAUUAAAAAAAACCAAAUAUGUUUUAAGGACGAAAGUGAAAAAAAUCCCUCAGUUUCGGAUUGUCGACCAUUUGUAAGUAGACCAUUCGUCUACAACUACAAGGGCCGGUUCGGAUUGUUUAAAUUUGGGUUGCCCGAGCUCUGACCCGCCCAGAUAACCCCGGAGCAUUCUGAAGGCUAGGGUUUUGACUCUCUCCCUACUAUAUAUACCAACUGCAAAGCAAAAUUCCUCCUCGUCCUAAACGGCCCCCGAGUGAAUCAGCUGGUACCGCCAUAGCUUCUGCUUCCGCCGACUAAAUCAUGGGGCACUCAAACGUCUGGAAUUCUCACCCUAAGAACUACGGCCCUGGAUCCCGCACCUGGUGACUCAUUUUUCUAUUUCUUUGUUAGUUUAUUGCGAUUUAUCUGUGUUACUGCUAGCUUUGAACGUUUUUUGUGUAUCUACAUCUGGGAUUGAGUUCCGAUUCGAUGCAUUUUUUUUUUGUAUUCGGGUGUUGGUGCAUCUUUGUGGUUAAAAUUGUUAUUGAGUAUGCUUGCUUUGGUUCCUUUGUACAGUCGCGUGUGUGGAAACCCUCAUGGGUUGAUCAGGAAGUACGGCCUCAUGUGCUGCAGGCAGUGCUUCCGCAGCAAUGCCAAGGAGAUCGGCUUCAUUAAGGUAAAGGCUUCGAGAACCCUUAGCCACCGAUCAUUUUAUGAUUCCAUUUACGGAGCUGAGCUUUCACCAUUUCCACUAUGUAAUCUGGUUUCAUUUUUCAAACUUUAUGGUUGCAGUACCGUUAAAUGGCAGACAUUCAACAUUCCAGGACUCGAUGUUUUGGACCAAGAAGAGUAGUAUUGGUUUCUGAGUUCUCCUCAACUUUUAAGAAAUAUUUUUGUUUUAGUUGAUCUGCUGUUGAACUUGAAUUGGUCGUCAGACUAAGAAUACUGUGUUAUUAAUGAAUUAAAGUUUGAUUUAUGUCCUGUUUCUUGUGGCUGUUUGAUGUUUCUCUCGUCCUCGUCUUGGUUAUCUCAAGUGACAUGUAUAUAUCUCGUUCUUGCUUAGCAUUCCUUGGGUCCGAAUAAGUUCUUGCUUAACAAUCAAUCGAAUGUCGAACAGAAAAAGUGAACUUGAAACUGGCUGGCAGUGUGUCAUCCACUAUCUAUCUGUAGUGUUUGUUUUGAAGCCGAUGUACCAUGUUCUCGCUAUGUUAGUUAUGAUGCAGACUAAAGUUGCUUCACCAGAUCGGAAGCUUGAGGCGACUUAUGAGGAUUUGCCAGAGGAUUACCCCUGGCACUUGCUUCACUUGCAGAUAAGUUUUAAGUGUUUGUUUAUUCAUGUCAUCGGUUUUUGUUGUGUUGUCGGUACGGAUCAGAAUUCAUAGCUUCUAUGAUUGCCUCCACCACAAUUAGUUAUCUGUCAACCGUGCUAAGAUGAUUGAACAUUUUCUUGCCAGAUUAUUUGUUUGAAAUUUGAAAUAUUUUGUAGAUUUUGUCAAGAUUUGUAGUGGUCGAUAAAUGAAUGCUAUGAGAACUGAAAUUGAAAAAAUGGUAUGUGGUCUAUAGACUUUGCCCAUAAAAUGUUUGAUUAACUAGCGAACCCGGUGGUAGAUCAUUGGAUGUUAAAAAAAUUCCAUUGUGAAAUGGUUUAUUUUUUUUGACAUGUUAAAAGAGUUUGUAUGGGAUGUUAAAAGCAGGCUCGUCAAUUUUUUUGAAUCACUCGUUAACUUGACAAGAAAUGUUACGAAAAUAACAGGUUUCGAAUCAACGAGUUGGGUCAUUGUCAAGUCACUUGUUAAGAACUCGAUAAUAUAUUAUUUGCCAGAUUUAGACAUUAAGCUUGUUAAUUUCUUGCAUGACUUGUUAACUGGACAUGAACAACAAGAUUCUUUAACUUAUUGGGUCAAUAUUGAGUUAUUAGUUAAAGUUUUUUUUUUUUUUUUUUUCAGAUAACGAGUUUAACACGACACGGUCUAUUAAGAUAGAUAAGAUUUGACAAACAUGAUCCGUUUACCAAACUUCAUUAUAAGCACUCUAAAUAUGUCGUCCUAAUUAAAGAAAUGUGUGCGCAUGAAUUUUUCUGGGAUUGUCGAUGGUAGUUUUCUUUAUGUAUUUGCAGACUAUCAUAGGCACUCUAUACUUGUUUAUCUUGCUGUCCUAAGAAAUGUGCUUUAGUAAAUUCGAGUGUAGAAUUAUAUCAUAAACAAAUCCGCUUCCACAAAACUUGUAUGCAGCAUCAAACGCAUAGGGAAUAGACUAACCUUUGUUUGCAUUGAAAUUGAAAGAAUUCAUGUCUUGCAUAUAUUUAAAAGGAUAAUUCUCACUUUACUGCUUUAAAUUAUUGUGGUUUUCGAACUUUCAUACAUCAAGUUUUUUUUUUUUUUUUUUUUUUUUUUUUUUCAUUCCAGUAUCGUACUUAAAAUGAGAAUUGUGACACUUUCAUACAUCUGUUAAGUUUUUCGUAAAAACUUCCUUUAACUCGUGAUGUGGCUCUUACAUGAAUACUGAUUGAACGUCACAUGUCAUAUCGCUCCAUGUGGACAUUAACAAAUUAAAAAAUAACCCCAUAAAUAAACAUAUAAUAUUUUUGUUUGUACCAUACUUAGGGUCUCUGCAUUUAGAUUUCGUAUAAAUACUCGGGGGACUCAAAUGUAAUUAUGUAAUAAAUGAAGGGGCAAAUAUGUAAAAAGGGGAAGAGCCCUUAGUCUAUAAAAGGACCUCCUCACCCUCACAAUCCUCAAGCUCUGAGACCAGAGCAAGGCCUCACUGUCAUAUUCCAAGGGCUCUCACCCUCAUAUUCCAAGGGCUCUCACCUUUACAAUCCUCUCACAAACAAAGAAAUACAAUAUUAGUGUGGACGUAGUCCAAACAUUGGGGUGAACCACGAUACAUCUUGUGUUCUUUACAUUUCUUGCAGAUUCACGGUUGGAUUUACGUUGUUCCAAGACCUCUGGUUUUGUGCAUCAACAUUUGGUGCCGUCUAUGGGAAUCGACACAAAAAACUAUGUCGGUUUUCUCUCAAUUUUUCAUCUCACCACCGUGAGACCUCACCACACUCCACUAUGAAUCUGCAGAAACCCAGAACCUCCCUCAUUGGGCUUUUCCAAAAAACCCCCACAAACACAAAACCGCUCGUCCCUCCCUCUUACUUUCUCUCUCUAAAAACUCCAGAUUCAGAAAAGCUCUCUCUAAACUAAGCUUUCUCUCUCUAGAAUCUGCAGCAAUGAUAGACAGUAUGUUGAGGCUCUCUUUCUUCUGACCCCAAGCUCCUCUUCAGCUACACCACCAACUCCUCCAGUGUUGACCACUUGGGCUUCAACUGUGAACGGCCACUCACCCGCCUCAUGCACCACGGAUUCAUCACCGCCAAUCCUACCGUUGUUCAGCAUAUCCUGAAGACCAACUUCCCCAACUACAAAAAAGGACAAAGAGCACCUGGAUUCAAACUGACCUCUUCGGCGAUGGCAUUUUCAACAUCGAUGGAGAUAACUAGAAGUUCCAGCGCCAAGUCUCCAACCACGAGUUCAACACCAAGUCUCUGCGUAAAUUUUUCGAACAGGUGGUCGACACCGAGCUUUCCGACCGCUUUAUUCUAAUUCUCUCUGCCGCCCUCGAGCCUCCAAACCUACCACCAUCUCAAUCUGCUCCUCAAACACAACACGACCGUGACUUUCGUGUUCGCAAACUCGGAUCCAAAGCUCGAGAACCACGAACUCAGUCGUGCCUGGACUUUCUGACGAGUUUUCCGUCGUUGUCCGGGCUAAUAGCAAAAGAGAAGUCCACUGCAGGACUCCGAUGAGUUGCAGAGAGAAACACCACCGGAGACUACGUCAACGGGUUGUCAUCUUAUUAUGAGGGGGUCUUUCUCGCUCAAGGCAAGACCAUGAGCGUUUGCCUCGGGUCAAACAAUUACACCGACCCGACCCGACCCGACUUCUUCGUUCCCUUCGACACUCGAUGUUACAGAAGAUACUAGAGAACGAGAUAUACUCCAAAGACGAUCUCCGGGAGCUUCUCAACUGUUUCCUGUAGCUUAACUCUCCCUGCAACCAUGGCAUUAUUAUCAGGGUCUUCACUGAGAUCUGGAAUGCUGUUUUCUCUGUCCGGUCUGGAGGUUCGACGUUGCUGCACUUUGCGAGCAACAAGUCAUGUGACUACGAGCUAAAGCUAUAUCUUGUGCACGUGCAACGGAGUUGGGAGACUGAGUUUUCAUUUACAUGUUGAGUUAAGAAGAAAACAAUGGGAUUAAAUCAAGUUACUUUGCCGUCUGUGGCCACGUCAUCGACUCCGGGCUUGUUCAAGCUGUUCAGCCUGAGAUCCGUGGACGGAAAGACUUCAUGCUCGGCCGUGGACGAUGGUCUUAUGAUGAACAACCUGACAGUGGCGGCUGUUACGCACAUGCUCAACAACAAGCGCGACUUCCCCUCCGUCAACGGCAGCAUAUUGGGGCAACAAGCAAUAAUUCAAAGAGCUCAAUGGCCCAUGCCUUGCAUCUUCUUUGCAGGGUGGUAGCCAUGUGAAAUAUUUUCUGAGAAAGCAAAAGAUGACCUUGGGUGGACAGAAUGAGCGGGGAGAUCAAGAAAAGCAAAAGAUAAAUUUCUUAUUAUUAUUAUUCUAUCAUGAUUCCUUUUGUCUGUCAGGUGAAGAGACAUGGAGAGUGCAGUGGAAAAGCAAAAGCAAAGCAAAAAAAACAAAAGCAAAGCAGAAAAACAAAAGCAAAAGCAGGAAAGCAAAAGCAAAUCAGAAAAACAAAAGCAAAAGUAGAAAGCAAAAACAGAUAAAAAAAUCAGACAUAAUUGCGGUGGUGAUGGCAUGCAGAAUAGGGAAUUAUGGGCGUGACCCAUUGAGCAGAGGGUUAGAUUUAUUUUUGAACGAUGUGAUUUAUUUUUCUUAUCAUUCGGAGACAUCUGUAUAACUCCAUUAGAGGGUAAUAAUCAUACAAAAAAAAUAACACAUCAUCCUAAUAACAAUCAUACACAUCAUAUUGAUCAUACAUAUGUAACCACAUUUCAUAAACGUUUCCAAGCUACAGUCGAAUCACAAUUAAUAAACAUAGAUCGAUGCUAAAAAUAAAAUAACACUACAAUAGAAAGCAUAUUUAAUUAACAAGUAUAACUCAAUAUGAUGCCACUAAUACAUAUAUCGAGACACACGUCAAUCGAGAAUGGCACGCCAUCGUGAUGAGCCAACUAAGUUCCAUCAAGCCUCAACAACAAACUAGAGAUAAAUGACACUUUAGAGUAUAGCAUGUUGACUAGAACGUCAACUAUCGAUAAGGUAUGUCCAUUAAGAUCAACAAUCUAAGGUUAUUCAAAUUGGAAGAUCCUCACAUCGGAUUUCCAAUCCGUAAGUUCUCAAAGGUCCAACAACUGAUACGACGAUCCAACGAUCGGAUUGUCGUCAAUCAUACAAACAAAUGGUGGUCCAAUUUGAUCACCACAUCAAACAAUUGAAUUUUGGGAAACCGAGCUAGACAUAGGUUCAUAGGGUCACUAGAAGGUAUUUAGUGCUUAGACAACACUUGUGGACGGUCCCACGCACCGCCACACGCGAUGGUAGCCAUGGUGAAGGGUUUGAAAACCCAAAUUUUCAACCUUAACCAAAAAGGCUCAAAUUUACGUGGUACCUAGAGCUCAACAAGGGAAACAUUAUUCACAACUAGGCCAACGACAAUUUCUAACCAGAAACCAUCCAAAUUCAUUGGGAAAAAACCGGGUUUUUAGGGUUCUAAACACCCAACUCUAAAACAAAUACGAAAGCACAAACCAAGCAUACCAUCAUGAAGAUUAUGAAGAGUAGAUGAAGUUUAAUACCUCACUCGAAAGAAAUGGUUGCCGAAAUCACCGGAAAAAUAAUAAAAUCGCCGGAAACCCAUGAAACUUUGCUGCCUCAAACUGGAAAAUGGAUAAGAAAAUGGGAAAUCUAAUACUGCAGAGAUGUAGGGCUCGUCAAGAGCUUUCCAUGGACACCAAGAUCACCCAAAACGGAGAUCGGAUGAAGGAGAUAUGAGCGGAUCAAGUUUGCGGGUUAACAGAUCUAAUUCGCCCCAAAACGGGUUAGAAUCAGACCCCCUUUGCCUUUUUUUUUUUUUUUUUUUGUUCUUCUUCUUUUCUCUCGCCACCCCUGUGGCUUUUCUUUCCUUCUCUCUUUUGGCCACUCCCGUGGCUUUUUCUUCUGUUUUCAUUUUUUUUAGCAACAACUUCAAAUGUCCGUAACUAUACCGUUAUAAUCCAAACUCGCAAACGUCUUUCGCCUAUGCAUUUGUGAGCUCGAUAUCUAUUCAACAAUAUAAAUUGUGAACUCGAAUGGUCUAUGAAUUUUAAAUAAUUAAUUUCCCGAAAAAUAAUAUAAAAUCUCUAUAAUACCAAUACGUAGAUUAUUAUAAUGAAAUCCAGGAAUGGGAUUUUACAAUCGCAACAAACCGCGGUUAUGAAGUGGCUGUAGAUCGGAGCAGAGAUGAGCAAGGAGUAACACCAAUUGGGGUAUGAAGAAAUGGGCAGAUUGCAAAGGAGAGCAAGGGAAAAACAGCAACAAGGAAGACAACAUAACAGAGAAAGCACAACCACUGACCCUAACAACAACUAGGGUCAGUGGCAUCGGAGUUGAUCGAAAGUGGAACCCUCACAUAAGCGGUGGUGAGAAAGGUCUCUCAAGCAGAGAGAAAGUCUCUCACAAGGAGAGAAAGAAGAUCACCGCCCACUUGAGUUUGGCUUCAACCCUUUCAAAACUUAAAUCUCUUCAACCGCAAGAAAUUGUCUCGAAUUUUAUACAAUCUAGGAUAUGAAGCGAAACAAACAGGACACCAAAUGAAAUGGUUAGCUCAACUGUGCUACUAAUGUAUGGCCUAAAUAUUGGUAUGGAAUACGGACUAGAACACAGGUAUAGACAAUGAUAUGAUUUUGUUACAUGUUCGAAGAUUUAUUGAGGAUUAUUGUUGGGUAUGAAAAACAACUCUAAGACGUUAGCAGCUCUUAACAGUCAUUUGAUCAUUGUGUAUUGUGGUUCAUUUCUCAGACUUAAUUAUUUGGGAUCUUGGAACACUGUAGGGGUAAAUUAUCAACUUUAAGUUCCAUAUUAGUUAGGUAAUGUAAGAUGAAAAGAUUUCCCGGAUGAUUUACUUACUAUACUAUGUUGAUGACCAGGAGGUAAUUCAUGUAUACUUUUUCUUCAAAGAAAAUUGUAGCAAUGGUUUAUCAACUUAAAUUCUAUUGGAGCAAUGGUCCCUCAGCUAAAUAUUCAUGACCAUUGGUCCCUUAACUCAUCAAAACGUAUCGCUAUCGUCAUUUUCAUGAACUCCGUCAAAAUAAGUCAUGUUGGAAGGACCAUUGCUACAUUUGAGUUCAAGUUGAGGGAUCAUUGCUCAAAUUGGGUUAAAGUUGAGUGACCAUUUCUCCAAUUGGGUUAAAGUUGAGGGACCAGUGCAACAAAUUUUUCUCAUUUGGUUUUCCAUAUAUACCUCUUCAUUCAGCCUCUCGUGCAUAACACAUGAUUUAUUUUGAAGGAAGUUGUAACGAAGUUGACAAAAAGGACCAUAGCUACACGUUUUGACGAGUUAGGGGACCAAUGACCAUAAAUUUUUAGUUAAGGGACCAUUACUCCAGUUGAGUUAAAGUUAAUGGAUCAUUGCUACAAUUUCAUUUUUUCUUCAAGAUCUCUAUGUAAAAAGGAAUUUUUUUUCAUCCAUUUGAUACAAUGGCCACUCAUGGUUGACAGCCAUUGACAAGAGAACCCUUACGGUGUUCAUUUUGGCAUCUGGAUCAAAUGUCUUCUAGUAAUCAACCCCAAAAGUUUAAGUAAACCCUCAAGCCACCAAUCUAACCUUGUGUCUUUCAGUUGACCCAUUUGAGUGAAACUUGGUCUUGUAAAUCCAUCUACUGCCCACAACCUUUUUACCCCUUGGAAGUUCAACUACACUCCAAUUUUUAUUGUCAUCUGGAAAUGCUAUGGAAAUGCUUAUACGGUAAUACGAUUGACCUUUGACCUCUUUGAUGAGAGAUUUUUUAUGUGCACGAAACAUGAGAUGAUACACUAUCUAUAUGAGUGGUGAGAUACUUGUAAUAAAAAAAUUAACAAAAUAAAUAAAAAUUUCCACCACUUAUAUAAUAACACAUGAUGUAUCACUCGUGUUUCUGAGCACAAUGAAAAAUUUGUCCUCUUUGAGCCACCGUGUAAAUGCUUCCUUGACCCGAAAGAUGCAUUAGGUUAGCAUUCUAUAUAAGAUGGUUGAGAAUGGAUGUAAAGUAGUGAUGCAAGACUAUACAAACUAGAAUUUGUGUUUAAAUUUUGAACAAUAGUAUUAAUAACCGGGAGAUUUACGAUUUUUGGUGUUGCUUGUGUCACAACAUCCAUCCAAUGUCCCUUCCAAUGGUAGCUACUCUUAAAGAACUUUGAGGAUAUUAAAUAUCAUUUCAAGCUUAGGGGAGAGGAUUGAUAAACCAUAUUGUAUAUACGACUAGCUAGCUUAUUUGAUGAACUUGGACCAUAGAAACCUGUCCUACUUGUCGAUCGAGGAACAUAUCACAGUUUAAUUGAUAAACUAUUUUUUAUGAAUCUUAUCACAAUGUCACACACGAGCUGGAUCAAAGUGCUUGAUGAAUGUGGCAAUGACUUGGAGUUACGUUCUAGCUUUGGAUACAUAAAUAAUUAUUGUUUAUGAUUUAUGUUGGAAUUUAGGAUUAUUUUAUUGUUUGAAUUUGGACUUAGCCCAUUAGUAUUAGGAUUUUGUUUUCUUGCUUAUUAGGGUUAUGUUAGUUCUUUAUAUAUAUAAUGUUUUGUAGCUCGUAGAAUAAUAUGUUAGUCACAAUGUAGCCUCUUAGGAUUUUGUAGUCGUUCUGACAUUCUCAUUUGUUUAAUAAUAUUUUUAUUAUUUUGUUAGUCUUGUUCGUUGCGUACUCUGAUAUUCAACUUGGUAUUAGAGCAGUUUCAAUCUUCGGGAUUUAAUUUGCUUGUGUCUGGUAUCGGUCUGUCCGUCACUCCCUUAUCUCUUCCGCUUCUUUGUUGUCGGUUUGCUUUAUUGUGGUGCCUAGAAGUUGUUUAGGAUUUGUGUUUCUAUUAAAAAAAGGAAAAAAAGAAGUAUGUAGAAGAUGAGAAAUUUGAAGCCUAGUCACUGGAGUCGAGCUUCCAGAGCCUCGUUGCGCUGGAGACAACACGACCACCCCCGCUGUGACUCCCGUCCACCUGAACAGUACUCGUACACCCAUAUUUGCACCACACCUUCACCUUUCAGUAGUCUCGAAUCCGCUGGACCCGCAUCGAUUCCACGCACCACCACCUGCCAUCGAACUCAGAUCGUCAAAUCUGGUGACUUGUUGCCUCAGCUGGAACAUGUGUGCUACUGCACUCGCAUAAUGAACCACCGUUGCUGCUGCUUGAAUCAACUCGUUGAAUCUAGUCAUAUCCACACCGCGUCACCAUCAGGUUAAAUCCAGAAAGUUUGUUUGAAGAAACUGUUGAGGAUUUUGUGCCAACAUUAUUGCCAUGGUUUGAAGAAUGAUUAUGGUUGCUGUAUUUCAAAGUUGUUGGGAAAGAAGAAAAUUACAUGUUUGUUGGGCCACUUGUGUUUGAGGCCUACUGGUUGCAGGGCCUGUUAAGCUAUAUCUGAUUGUUUUUAAGAAAGGUUGCGCCAUAUAGUGUUUGUUGUUGCCCACCACAACAAUUGUUCGAGUGCUUGAACUUGUGACCACCCGAAUUUGCUUGUUUGUCUGGAUUGUUCGUUUACUUGCUUGAUUGCUCGCCUGCUUGCCUUGUCGUGUCCGCCUAACAGAGCUUGCCUUGUCGUGUCCGCGAAACAGAGCUUGCCUUGUCGUGUCCGCCUAACGUAGCUUACAUCUGCAUCUGCUUGUUGGCAAACUCAUGACUUGUACCGCCAUGAGUUUGACCGGGGGUGUUGGAAUUUAGGAUUAUUUUAUUGUUUGAAUUUGGGCUUAGCCCAUUAGUAUUAAGGUUUUAUUCUUGCUUAUUAGGGUUAGGUUAGUUCUCUAUAUAUAUGGUGCUUUGUAACUCGUAGAAUAAUAUAUUAGUCACAAUGUAGCAUCUUAGGGUUUUGUAGCCAUUCCGGCAUUCUCAUUUGUUUAAUAAUAUUCUUAUUAUUUUGUUAGUCUUGUUCGUUAUGCACUCUGAUAUUCAACUAUGCAUUGUAUAGGGAUAUCAUUUACAGAAUGACGACGAACUGCCUAUACAUGAUUUUGUGAACUACACAUGAUACGAGAAUGUGCCAAGUUGUUGUUGAUGAAAUUAUGGAAUUAUGGUAGUGGUUAAGAUCUUUUGCGUAGUUGAGCUGGAGUGUUGGAUGUAUCAGGUCUCAGGUCAGCUUAAAGUGUACGGGUUAUUUAUCGGGUAAUUUGGAACUGGCAACAAAAAGUUAGACAGGACGACUAACAAAAUAAUGGGGUUGGGAUGUUUUGGGAACGGGUUUAGUUUGUAAAGUUGAGCAUUACAUAUCACAACUAUCGUGGUAAAAUGUAUGAUAUAGGACAUGCAUAUCAUUUCAUAUGUGUUUUUAAGUAUUCAUUGAUAAUUGAAUUUUGUCAAUUAUAUAUGUGAAGGUAUAAGUCCCUACUGAGCUUUUCAAGCUCAUCCUAACUAUAUUUUGCAGGUAUAUGAACUAGGCAAUUCAAAAGGGUAGGCAAGAUGAGAUGAAAUUGGAAAGGAGGCUUGAGCUGUUCUUGUUAUUGUAAGAAAUAAGAGUUUUAUUAUUUCUUUGUAACCUUGUAAAGAAUUUUUGGUUAAUUUUAUAAGAGGAAUUAUUUUCACACAAUUGGCUUUCUUUUAUUUGUUUAUUUCUUAAGACCUGGAUCCGGAGCGUGACAUAAAAGGAUUCUUAGAUAUCGAAAGGGCAACAUCGAUUUUGAUACUCAUUUCAAAUUGGUACUUUAGAUUUGAGAUAGUAGAUCAAUUUCUGGUUUUGUUAUUCUUCUUGGUCCAAAAAACAACAUACCCUCUCUUGGUCCUCCACAGAGGCAGAGUAUGGGACUAUGACAACUACCACUCUUGAAGUUGUGUGGAUACUUCAGUUGUUAUCAGACUUGCAUGUGUCUAUUCCUCAUGCUUCUGUUUUACAUUGUGGUCGUAAUCGGCGGGGACUCUUGGAAAACAAUGAUCAACCACUAGAACUAUAAUUUGCCAAUUCAUAACUUGUAUUUUGAUCCUUGUAUUAGCAUCAUAUUUUGUAUCCCAACUCCUGAACUACUUUGUGCAUUACAACAUCUUCAAUGAUUGAGAAGAUCACCUAAACUAAAAAAGCACAAAAGUAAGUACCUGCAUAAUAAUCUACUUCACCAACCCACUUAACUAAAAUUUCUUCUCCUCCAAGUUAUUUUCCAAAUCCUCUUUUCCAGAUGCCUUUUUUCAACAUCAAUCAAUUCUCUAGCUAUCAUUCAGGUAAAAGUUUCUGCAAGUCAUUCGAUUACUCAAUCUCAUUAAUACUCACCAUUGCCAAUCCAAAAGCCAUGCACCUUAACCGCACUUGUUCUAAUGGUUUAUCUCUUCUUAAUGGUGAAAAAUGUUCCAAUCGACAUCAAAACUCCCCGUCACCUUGGAUUAUAAAACUAUAGAAUGUUAAGAUUGCAUAUAGGUCACCCAAUGACGUCCCACUACUAACUACUCCAACACUGAUAUUAUCUCUAACUUAAUGACUUGCAUAGCUCGUACUCAUCACAUUCGCAUUUUAGGGUAAAAUUAGUCACAUUUUUUUUUUAAUUUGGAAAAGAAAUGGUCACACUCGUUUCAUUGUGGGGUUGGAGAGGAAAGGAGAAGCAAUGUUAUUGAAAAUCUAUGGGGGUGGUGAAGACAAAAUCAUUCUUCUAGUUUAUAAUCACUUUCAAAACAAACUAACUAAUACACAAUUAAACAAACAUCUAGUGGGUGUGUUACUUUUAAACUAAUUAUUCAACUGGAGUGUACCUUAAGGCACAUGGCUGCAAAAAAAAUCCAAAGCUAUCAUCAUUUCAGGACAUAUAUUAGCCUUAACUAAAACCAAAAGAUGUCAUUCCAUAAUUGGUGAAUCCAUAAUAUAGGGUGAUAAGGGGUUCUUAACAGAUUUGUAUUAUAAGACUUGUAGUUCAAGUAGUUAAGAAUGUUUAUUCAUGCACUCGAAAUUAUGUGUUUGAUUCUUUUUCCAAUAACCUGUGUAUUCAAAUAAAAAAAAUUCAAUAUGCUAAAGUUACAAACCCCUCUUAGUAUCGUUAUAUAUAAAACCAAUGGCCCAAUGAACAAUGUUUUUUGGUGUCACAAGCUUCAUAAAAAAUAAUUGGACAAAAAUACCCCUCAAAUGAGCAACUUGAAAAGCAAUCCAAAAUAAUGCAUCAAAUAUGACAUGAGUAUUUUCAUCAUUUUUAUUGAGUAGAUGACGAAGUCCAUGCUUGGAAUAAAAAAAUAAUAGGAAACUAAUUUAAAAAGUUUCAAAUCUUUGCAUUUUAAUAAAAAAUCAUCCACAGAUUUUAUUUAAUGAUAAUGGACAAAAUAAUAUAUAAAUAAAAAACACCACAUGCUCUGGCGCGCAUACACCCCAAUCCACCCCCCAUUUCCACACUGUGUUUCACCUCAUUGUCAGCUAUCAUUAAGACAUUAUUAUUAUUAUUUAUUUAUUUAUUUAUUAUUUUGCUUAGAAUAAGAGAAAGACUUCAAAUUGAAUUACAUUUUCCCAGUUUUAUUUUUAUGGUGUUGUUUCCCAAUAGUAAUCAAGAUGACAAAAGAUUUUUCAAUGUGCUCGGGAUACAAAGUGAUACACCAUGUCUCUAUACAAGUGGUGAGAUUCUUGUGUUAAAAAAUAAAAUUUCCUACCACUUAUAUAAUAACACGUGGUGUAGAAAGUUAAGAUUGUAGGUGGAGAAGAAGAGGAACCCGUAGAUGGGCGGAAAAUAGAAUAAAAUUAUGUAAUUGGUGUAGAAAGUUAAGAAAUUGAAGAGAUACAAAGAAAAUUAGAAGAAGAAAAUGUGUUUGGAAGGUUAGAAUGUUCCAAGAAAAUUCGAGGAGAGAGAAGAAUGUAGUACCGUUAAGUUUCAUAAAUAGUGUAAUACCGUUAAAUUUCAUAAAUAGUGUAGCACUAUUAAAUUUCAUAAACAGUGUAGUACCGUUAAGUUUCAUAGACAAUGUAGUAAGUUUUAUAAACAACAUCGUAAGUUUUCAUAAACAAUGUAGUAAGUUUCAUAAACAGUGUCGUAAGUUUCAUAAACAAUAGUACCGUUAAGUUUCAUAAACAGUGUAAAAAGUUUCAUAAACAGUUUGUGUGAGAACGUGUGGGUUCGCGCAUCAUUUUUUUAAAUAUUAAAAUUACGUCUUUUUCAUUAAAAUUUAAGUUUUUUGUCAUUUUUAUUAAAAUUUAAGGGGUUUUCAUUAAAAUUUAAGUGUUUUUAAUUAAAUAAAGUUAUUGCAUGAUUUUUUUUAUUAAAAUAAACUUAGCUCAAAUCCUUUUGAUGAAAAUUUUCAAAAAUAAUAUUACAUAUGUGCUACAUUUUCUAUACAUAUAAAACAGAGAGUGGGAGGUGUUCAGAGAAGGUAACAAUGGAGUAAAAUUACGAUUUGUUUUGGAAUGUUUUUCAAAAGGCUAAAAGUGUUUUUUAACACAAGGUUUUUUUACAUAAUUAAAAGAAAUUUUGACCAAUAAAAAGCUAACUAAAAGUGCUUUUGAAUUAAUUAUAUAUGUGUGUGUGUGUGUUAUAGGACACACUUACUUAGAGCCCACUCCAUAAAAUAUAUCAACUAUCUAACCAUCUAUUUUAUUGAUCUUUCUUCAAAGAUCAUCUCUGUAAAAAAAUCACUAAAAAAUGAAAGGAUAUGAUCGUCAAAUUUAGUGAUAGUUGUUUUAAUGUUUAUUCAUCUAUUUUCUUCACUAUAAAUGUUUUAAUGGUUUUUUUUUGUCUAAGUUUUUGCAAGGAGUCAAUGACGGUGUAUGAAUGAUAAACGGUUGGAUCAUUGAAAAAACAAUUAUGGAGUGAGCCCUAAGAAAGUGUGUCAACAUGUAUGCCAAAAAAUAUGCGUCCUUGAUCCAAUAUAUAUUGUUGUGUUUGUAAUUAAAUCAUUUCGAGCAUAAACGUUUACGAACAGACGUGAUGUUCUUCCAUAGACAAUCUCAAAAGGCCUUAGCAAACUACAGCAAAGUUACCAAAUGCAACUUAACUUCUUGAACAAAAGCCAAAAGGCUUUUAGGGUUAAUGGCUUCGUGACCUAAAUAAUUCUGCAUAUAGCUACACACCCAAACUAUGUUAGUUUUCAUAACUAGAGUAAGAAUAUCGAUCGUAUCUUUUAUCCUACAUUCAGUUUUGUAGUCCUAUUCUUCCACAUUUGUAGCAAAUAAGGGGUUUUCUUUUCCCAAAAGUCCUAACCCUUCAGCACAAACUUCAGAAGUUAUUUCUCCGUAGGUAAUACCUAUCAUCAGGUAUAACUCCACCAAAUUUACUCUUAAUUCUACUGCACACCUUUAAAAAAAAAAGAAAAAAAUAAGACAAUCCAGAAAGAAAUUUCUCUUUCCAAAAAUCAGCAUAGCAAUCUGGCCUAGUGAAUACCUUAGCAUAAAACGCAUAUUUGGACCAUCUAAAAUGAGACAAAGUUGGACACUUUAGAUUCAUCAGGAGUUCUCCAAAUCAGUCUUGUUGGAGCUCAAUAGUUCCAACAAAAUGGGGGAUAAUAGUAUAUAUUAGAGUGUUAACUGCAUCUUCUUGGUAUAUUGGUUCACCAUUAUAGUCUUCUGUCUCCUACUACACUUGUAGCUGCAAAUAUUUGUUCUUUUGCUUGAUCGCUAGAUGGAAAUCUCACCAUCCACAAAGUUGAUGUCACAUCCCGGUCCAGGCCCCCACCACAUCCCGGGCUCGACUUUUCCGUAGCACGAUAUUGUCCGUUUUGGGCCCCGACCACGUCCUCACGGUUUUGUUUAUGGGAACUCAUACAAGAACUUCCCAAUGGAUCAUCCAUCAUGGGAUUGCUCUCGCGCGAACUUGCUUAAGUUCGGAGUUCCGAUGGAACCCGAAGCCAGUGAGCUCCCAAAAGACCUCGUGCUAGGUAGAGAUGGGAAUAUAUAUAUAAGGCUUAGAGGAUCUACUCCCUUGGAUGAUGUGGGAUGUAACAGUUGACCUAUAAAUCUUGCAACUAUGGCCUGAGCAAUUCCUUUAUCACAAUUUCCAUUCAACUUACUCGCAUAUGAGAACUUCAUCAUAUGCCUCAUGGUAUUGACUAUUUGAUAUUCAGUAUGUCCAUCAUGUUCCAACAAUUGAUUUUCCAUCAUACUAGACUUUAUCAUCCAUGUCAUUUUCUUCAAAUUAUAAAUAUAUUGGUGAUGGCCUUAGAUAAGAAUUUUUUAUUAGAGUUGUUCUUUCAACUUUUCUACCAAAUUUUAUCCUAUAGUCCCGGUUUAGGCACUGUCUCAGUAGAUUGCUCUUCUAAAUUUGAGAGUUGGGUUUCAAACUUUCGACGAUCACCGAAUCUUUUAAGUUAGGAAGAUAUGAUGGUUUAAACAAAGCUUGGCCGUGUUUAUCUUCUUUUUUCUUCUUGUUAUCAAUGGAACUAGAAGUCGAACCCAUCCACCUUGGUUCCCUAGGCUCCCAUUUUUCAGAAUUAAGAGGAUCGCUAUCUUUUCAUGAAUUAUCAAAUUCUAGAUGUUUGCCUUCCAAAGGAUUGGAGAAAAAUGUUGGUGUAAUUAUUUUGUUGUAUAAGAGCAGAAACUCCAUCAUUUAAAAAAGUGGUAGUUGUUUGACUAUCCUGUUGUACAUUAGGUACUUCUUUAUAUGGAGUGGUUCCUUUUUGAUUCACUUAUUCUUUUCUGGCGGGUGGAUUGCCUCUUCUUCUUUUCCCUCUUUAGUGACAUAAGUUUUGAAGGCAUUUUCAACAACACUUGUACGCAUAUUCAAGGACUUCCAUUUCAUAAAUUGAAAAUGAGCUUUUAUGAAGGAAUGCGUGUUUUCCACAACUAUAAGUUUUCUUAAACCAUUCUCUUUUUAGUGUUCUUCACACUAUAAUCUAUUUAAUGAUUUUUUUUUUAUCAAUUUCAAACUUAGGUAUGACACAGACGUUAAAUUCAACAUCUGACCAUGAUGGUUUGGGUUAAGGGGGGUUUCUUAACGGAGCAAUACUUUCUAAGGAUUCUACCUUAUAACGGGAUUUGAACUUCUGCACGAGUUUGCCUAAGACCUUCAAGAACAAUUCUCUCAUGAUCUUGCUCAUAAGAGUUUGACCUUGUUGUUCGCCUUCUAAACGCAUUUGUUCGAAAAGAGGGGUCAUGGCGCGUUUAAAGAAUCAACGUUUAAUUGAGAAACCAACGCUUAAUCUAGCCAUCCUAUCCGUAGAAAAUUGUGCUUCAACGUCUCUAUCUUCGUAUUGAUUUAUAUGGCUAGGUUCUCUUUUUGGAAUUGGUUGAGGUGGAGCUGCAUCUUGCAAUCUCUAUCUUUUAGGUAGAGUAACUUCAUUCCACUUUAUCAUUUUAGGAUUGUAUCAACUAGUGCUAAAUUAUUUUGAAUGAGAAGAAAGCGAAUGUGAAAUAGCAGUUCUUGAAGAUGAGAGAAAAGUUGGUUACACUGUUCAUAUUUUGUUUGUUGCUUUUUCACUUGAAAGGGAAAUUAUUAGGUAGAUGGGAUAAUUUAACCACAAGUUAUUAACUAAUUUUCCUCUGGACCAUCCAAUUUCUUCUGAGAUCUAAUGCAGUGGUGAUUUGGGAUAUCAAUAUUUACCCACAGAAAAGUCUAGGGUUUAUAAGAAGAGAGGGAAUAUGUUGAAAGCAAAGGCAUAACUAUAAAACCUGAGAGUGACUGAAAAAGAUGUGGCAUCUCUCUCUCUCUCUCUCUCUCUCUCUCUCUCUCUCUCUCUCUCUCUCUAUACAAAACUAAUGCAAUAGAAUUAGAAUGGGUUAAAUGACUUAGCUUGCAAAAAUGACACACUGCAAUUUGGUCAUCCUUUAGCUUAAGUUUAAGGAUCAUUAAUUGAUGUCAUCAACCACUUUGUUUUUUGCUUGAAUGCUGUUUUCAUGGAGGUUAGCUAGCUCAUUCCUAUUUGUAUGUAUUUACCACAUAUAGAGGAUUGUGCAACUAUAUAAUCAUUAUACAUUAUUAUUAAUUGACCAUUAUGAAACUUAUUUUGCUCCACAAAUAGAGUAGAAUUAGAUACUAUUACUAACUAAUUAUUUUGUGCAGUUGCAUGAAUAACUAUGGGAGGUUUUGUUUAGUAGAAUUAAAGGCAUCGGGUGCAAAUGAAGGAUCCUUUACGCCAAUUUAUCAUGUUUGAAAAAAGGUACAAUAUUCAUUGCAAACGAAAAUAAUACGUACAUUAUUGAAGAUAUGAUGCAUAUAAUGGACCUCAAUAAAAAUCUUAACGAGAAUUUCAACCCAAUCAAAGAGAAAAUGAGUGUUCUGCCCUAAUAAAAUACUAAGAAUUAUUAUCUUCAAAGAGGUGGUCUAGAAUAGUAGAAGUAAACCCCAUAAGUAAAACUAACAAAAUUGAAACCACAAAUUCUAAAGCAACAAUGAGUAAUCAUACCAUACAAAUUUCGACGAGCAACUAAUAUCGUUGUAUAAAAAAAAAAAAACCAAUUUCGAAAAUUUUGGCCUUGAACAAAAUCCCAUAAAUCUCACAUGUGGAGAAAAUUGUACUCAUAAAAAUCAAUAAAAAAUAAAAAGUCUAAAACGUAAUUAAAUGAACAUAAACACAUAACGUUAACGUCCCUCCAAAGUUUCUCAGAAAAAUAUUUCCCAAACCCGGAAAAGAAAAAGCCCCACCUCCUCAACUCUCUCAUUUUUCUCCCGGACGCACACUCACUCCACCAUACUCUCUCAUACACUCCCAAAUCUCACCUCUCCCCUUACCUACUCUCUCUCUCUCUCUCUUUCUCAACCCACAACUCAGAGAUAGCAAGGCUCACUGCUUUUCCUCUCAGAAUUUACCCUUCUCCUGCAACUUUAUAAAUCUGCAUUGCUAUAUUUGGGGAAUUUACAUGGUGGGUUCGCAAAAAUUCAUUCUCUGAGAGGCAAUGUGAGGAGGAUUUGAACUGUCCCUAUGAUGGUGGUUGCCAUUUCCGAAGCAGCUUUGACAGACCCGCCGCCGAACCCCAAAACCUCAUCGAACCACCGCUCACGGCCCCAUCUCCAAAACCCAUCAAGGCCUCCUCUCUUACCUUCCGAGAAAGACAAUGGCUUCGUUCAGAGGCGACCCAGAGGCCGCCAAGUCUCGUCGAAAUACAUGUCUCCUUCGCCUUCUUCUUCUUCGACCUCGACCUCCACUUCUACGGUCUCGUCCUCUGCGUCUUCCAGAAGAUGCCAAUCUCCGUUGCUCUCAAGGUCCAUAAACUCGGCUUCGAACUCGACCCCCGUUCCGGCUCAGAAACGGGCUCAAUCGGCGGACCGGCGGCGACCCAUUACUCCUCGGACCUCCGCCGGCCUCCCCGAGGCUCGGGUGAGCAAUGCCGGUUCCGAAGUCUCUGCUGCAACUCGGCUUUUGGUCACUUCCACUCGGAGCUUGUCGGUUUCGUUCCAAGGUGAGGCCUUUUCGCUUCCGAUUAGCAAGACUAAGACUCCAGCCUCGCCGAGUGGGACUGCCGCGAGGAAGGCCACGCCUGAGAGACGCCGGUCGACCCCUGUGAGAGGAGAUCAAGCUGAGAAUUCUAAGCCGUCUGAUCAGCACCGGUGGCCGGCCAGGACUAGACAGUUGAGCUCGGGUGGGACUAAUAACUUGUCCAGGAGCAUGGACUGCAGUUCGGACAACAGGAAGCUCAGUGGGAUUGGAUCUGGGAUUGUGGGUCGAGCACUGCAGCAAUCCAUGAUUGAUGAGAGCAGAAGAGCGUCUUUCGAUGGUAGAUUGAGCUUGGAUUUGGGGAAUGCUGAGCUUUUGAAGGAUGCUAGGCAAAACCCAGAUGCUAAUUCUGCCCAUGAAUCCUCUGUGCCGUCUGAUCUCACUGCUUCUGAUACAGACAGUGUUUCUUCUGGUAGCACUUCAGGUGUGCAGGAUGCUGGUGGUGCCGAAAAGGGUCGAACCUUACCCCGUGGCAUUGCGGUGUCAGCAAGGUUUUGGCAGGAGACUAAUAGCCGGUUGAGGCGGUUGCAGGGUCCUGGUUCGCCUUUAUCAACAAGCCCUGUGUCUAGAGCAGGGGCAAAAUUCGUUCAAUCUCAAUCGAAAAGGCUUAAUGGUGAUGUCCCAUUAUCAUCAUCUCCCCGGACAAUGGCUUCCCCCACUAGGGGACCAACUAGGCCUGCUUCGCCGGGUAAGCUUUGGACUUCUUCAUCAAUGUCACCAUCAAGGGGUUAUAGUCCUUCUCGUAGAAGUAGUGUUGAAAGUACCUUGAAUAGGAGUUAUUCUGGUCCUGCACCUUCAAUCCUUAGUUUUUCUGUUGAUACUCGGAGAGGGAAGAUGGGGGAAGAUAGGAUUGUUGAUGCACACAUGCUCAGGCUUCUGUAUAACCGUUAUCUGCAAUGGCGGUUUGUAAAUGCAAGAUCAGAUGCUACCUUCAUGGUGCAGAGACGAAAUGCCGAGGUAUGAUCUCAGUGCUAUAAAUUGCAUUGCUUUCUAUCUUUUUAUUUCAGUAGUGUUUGUCCAUGAAUUUGUUUUUUUGUUGGAUGGUCAUAUGACUCCUAUAUAUUGUUAUCCAUGUAUGCUUCACCUCGUUAUGUACUAAUAUCCAUUUCUAUCUAAGUAGCACGGUUGAUGUUUGUGGUCUAUGUAUUCCAUAUUAGAAUGUGAGCAUCCAAUUAAAAACCAAUUGGCAACUAUCUACUUAGUAUGGUUGAUGUUUGUGGUCUAUGUAUUCCAUAUUAGAAUGUGAAAGCAUCCAACCCAAACCAACUGGGAAUAGGAGGGAGAGGCUUAAGUCAUUAAACUUUAGGCAAGGCUUUAAUUCCCCCAUGUGAAAUUCACACUCUCAAGCACACCCCCACAAGUGUGGGGUCUUCAAGUCUAGGACGUGGACAACACAUAUUAGGUGACGUGGGCUGUUUGGCUUAACAUAUGGUACCCUGGUUUGGUACCAGAUUAGAAUGUGAGCAUUUAACCCAAAGCCAAUUGGCAUUAGGAGAGAAAUGCCCAGAUCAUUUAAACUGUUUGGCAAGGGUUUGAUUCCCCAAUGUGGUAUUUACACUCUCAACAUUGUAUAUACACACUCUCAACAUUGUAUAUACUUCUGACUAGUGUUUCGUUUCCCUAAUAAUUACAAUGAGAAGGCUAACUUCUCUUUCAGCUUAAUUAUUUUGUGGCAGGUUCCUUUUGGUUUUUUUUUUUUUUUUUUUCCUUUUUCUUCUUGAAGAGGACGUCUCUUUGUUCAGCUUGAGCGUGCCAUUAUAUUAGUUCAUUUCUGAGCUUUAAUUAAGCAUGGGAGAUACAAAUAAAAGGAUAUGUAAUAUUAAUACAGAUGGAGUCUGGGUAACUGUUGACCCUAGAAAUUACAAAGCCUACGUGGCGCGCAGGCCGAAUAUAUUCUAAGCUAACUACGUCCUUCGGUGAUUGCGGGGCGUGCCAACUCGUCGGCCGAGGCUCGGCCGAGGAGUAAAUUUGAUGAUGCUGCGUUGGGUCGCGCUACUGACUUCUGCGUCUUGCGAUUGCGGCCGAGAAAGGAACGCGUCUCGGCCUCUUGGGUUCUCGAGCCUGAAGACAAGGCUGCUAUUUCUUACAAAGUUCACGAACCGAAUUCGGCUUACAAUGUGCCGAAUGUAAUAACUGUAACACCUCACCUCGCCGAGAAGGCUAAUGAGAUGACCUCGACCAACAAGGAUUCGAAAACCCUUCUCGACCGAGACUUGGAUAGGCAAUCGACCGUUCUCGCCGCAGUGCUGUUGAUGCCAACGGAAGAUACUGCGAGACCGACCGACUCUACGGUGACAGAGCUAUCUAUGCCGACUUAAGAUAUCACCGGUUGCUUCCACAGUGCUGUUGAUGCCAACGGAAGAUGUGUCAGCGAAAAAAGAAAAGAAAAAGAUCUCAAGUUGUGAGAGUUUGCGCAGGGCAAUUUUGUAUUGAUGUUUGUGGGGCUUCUUCCAUUGCUGAAUGUCUUGUAUUUUAUAGAAGCAGAACACCGAGCCCGAGUUCUAAUCCUAUUCGAACUAGGUUUCCUUCUCCGGAUUAAUGUUACCUCAAUCAGUCCUACCUCUGCUAGGACUACGAAUCUAGUCCUUAACUGAGCCGGAUUCGCCUUCUAGUUUUACCGAUCUCGUCGAGGGUCCCUAUUGUAUUAGGACUCGACUUGCACUCUGAUUUAACCGAUCUAGGCCUAGAAGCCCAUGAGCUGAAGCCCCCAUGACUUUCUCGCCGUAGUCUUCCCGGGCCGAAAGUGAUACCUCCCUCGGCCCCAAACUGCUAUUUUUGGGCCCAAACAUUGCCCCCUCGCUUUUGAGGUCCUCGGCCUGAACCCUUCGGCCGAGUUUCGGCCUUGAAGAAGCGAAUCUACCACUCAGGAUCCCAAUACCCGAGUUCCAAGGCGUAUUUAUUGAACAUGUUCGCACGAUCUUGAUCCUGCUAAACCACUCGCCACGUGGCAUCCCCUAACAUGGCCAAUCCCCGAUAAUGACGUCUGAAGCGUGCGCCUGCCCGAACCGUCUCGUCAUUAUGACCACUAUCUCAAUCCGCGAGCCAUUUCAUCAGUCCGUAAGCCCACCUGUCAUCGUGCAGGCGUCGAACCGUCUUUCGUCAUUAACUUCGCCGUCACACGCGAUCGUGCGCCCCCAAAACCUAAAACCGUCGGUCUUCUCAACCGCAUUCCCCAAAUGCUCAUCAUGAUCAACGAUUCCCCCGGUCGAUUUUGCCCUUUGUUUUGAAUUUCGAACGAUUGCUCUUCCUCCCAUUACUCUAUAUAAAAUACCGAAAUUUUCCUCAUUUGUUCUUUACGUUCUCAAACUUCCUGAAAUCCCCUACUCUUGCUCUCAAGUGCAUUCCUCCAUUCCAAGCUUUCGUCCUCAAAUCCCCAACCCGAAAAACCUCCUUACGCUGUGCUUUUUACAAUGGCCUCCUUCAUCUCCAAGCUUUCCCGGGAAUGCGACCAGCAUCAGAAGAUCCUUGAUCGGAGCUCGAUCAAGAAUAUACGGUUCGAGAACGACAUGAGCACCGUCCACCAAAUCCUGGGUCCUCUCUUCAAGGCAACAAUCCCGCCGACCAUCACUGGUCUUCUCCAGGAACACUGCCUUACACCCUUGCUCCAAGGGUUUGAAUGGUCGAGAUGGGAGGCGGCAAAGCCCCAAGGCUCCUGGCCCUCGACGACCACCACCUGGGCGACCUGGGUUGUCCGAAUGGAACGGCUCUUCGGCGAAAAAUGGAAAAUCCUGGGCAUCUACGACGCCAUCCUCCUUUCGUCGAUGGACAUUGUCCCUGACAAGGAGCUGCUCCUAGCCGCUUUAUGCUUCUGGUGCUCAGCCACCAACACAAUGGUCCUUCCCCUUGGUCCCAUUGGUCCCACCAUCCUGGACAUCACCGCCAUUUUGGGGACCUCGGCCACCGGGAUCCCUAUCGACGCGACCCUCUCCGGGAACCCGUCGAAUAUCGAUCUGAAGACGCUCUUCGACCGUCGAGCCUUCGAGACCCUGAAUAGUGACGGUCACAUCCCGUCGAGGGAUGAAAUACAGAAGCUCCACAAGAACUUUCUCAACUACAACACCCUCUACCUUCACUUCGCCGGUCGAGGGGAAGAGGACCUGCGAGAAGGAGAGCAUGAAGCCUUCCUCUUCUACUGGUACAAUAAAUACAUUUGUUGUACCAAAUCAAACAAAUGUUUGGUCGAGAAUAUGCCAGUGGCUGAAGCUCUGGCCAGUGGUCGCGUCCUGGCGCUGAGUUCUAAUAUUCUUGCCCACCUCUUCCGCUGCCUGGCCGAGGCGACUCUCCACACGGUGGACCCCCAUCAGAAUGGCCCUCUCUGGGUCUUCCAGCUCUGGUUGCAGGUAUACUUUGCCUCCCUUCGGCCGGCUAUAGCUGAUUUUUCAGCAACAGAGGCUCUUGGUCCUCAGCUAGCCUCCCGACCAACGCCUCCUCAUCAGGCCGAAGAGGUGUUUUAGGUACCUCUUUGCCCUUGACGAUCUCACAAGCGACGAAUUCCUGAUUUGCCGUCGUCGUGAUUACCCCCCCUCCAUCAAACUGCCUACCUCUACGUGGGCGGCAGAUGAGGACGCCGCUCUUCGCCGAACCUGGGGGUCGUUCGUGCUUGCUCGCGACCUUCCUCUCGGCUGCGACGGGAAACGGUCGGGGUGGGAAGUGUACCAUCCGAACUUCCUUGCCCGUCAGCUCGGCUAUCUUCAGGGCUGUCCCGUCCCCCUUCUCUCUUCCCGCACAGUAUUGAGCCGCGGACGCGAGCCUCGCUCUUCAGAGAACGAGUGCAGGACUGCUGCGAAGGAGUUUCAAGAGUACUGCCAAAGAUUUCGCCUUCGACCGGCCACCCCAGAAACCCAUUGCACUGACACCUUCGGUGAGUGGUGGGAAAAUUACACUCAAGAGUUCUUCGGUGCGCCGGUCGAGGAUGUACUAAACAGGCUCUUCGGUAACCGACCUAAGAAAGCCCCGGCCCCCCAUUCUCAAGGUAGUUGUUCAAUUCCCCCUUUUUCUUCAACCUUGCCUGUUGUACGCCUUACUGAAUUGUCUUUAUCCUUUUAGGUAGUCGGCCUUUGAGAAAGACAGAGGUAGUUGCCGCUGCUAUGGCCGGGAAAAAAUCGGUCGUGGCCAAAAAGGACAAACCUGCUGGUAGGGCCGGGCUGACCAAACGGCCUCGCCAAGAGGCCGGGCCGGCUAUCAAGCCUUCCCCGCCUGCCAAGCGGGUAAAGCAACUGGCGAAGAAAGGUGCACGGGAGAUCCACGUUAUUUCCAGCCACACGACGACUCCCAGUGCUUCCCCUUCUCCCGCCGCCGGCCAUUCUGGGGUCAAGAAACAGCCGGCUUCAGCCGUAGAGACGAUCCCAGCGCGGCCUGCUUCUGUGGCCGGCGAAUCAGUCGUACCUACCUCUGUCGAGAAGGCACCUGUCUCACACCAGGCGGUCCCAAGAAUCCAAAGCCCACGGUCUUCGUGCUGGAAGAGAGUGAGGGGAGCGACGAGGUCCCGCUGGCGCGUCGUCCUCCUACUCGUCAACGAACUCCUCCAGUAUCCGAGAUGGCGGUUCGACACGGCCCCUCCUCGGCUAAUCGUGGCAAGCACACGGUCGAGGAACCGACCCCGGCGGCCGAACCUCUCGUUCCUUCUCGAGACCAGGACGUCCCUGCCUCCACUGAAGCAGCUGCGCCAAUCGGCCCAUCGGCAGCCGACCGUGGCAAACGCCUGCUCGAGGAACCCGAAGCCACGGCGGAAUCGCCGAUCCAUCCUCAAGACCAGGGCUUCCACAUCCCUCACAAAGAGGUUACCUCGGCUUUUGUAAGUACCUUCGAUUUUCCUCCUGAUUGCUUUUCUGCUUUAGAAUUCUAAACAAGGAAAAACUAAAUGUCAGGUGCCUGUACAUUCUUUUCACCGUCAAUUCUAUGCGCCGAAGGGCGUUAUCUAUAUUUCCUGGCCGCCUCAGUGGCCAUCAAACGUAGAUAACCUCCAUCGGCCUCGUGAAGUGAGAAGCAAUCUGAGACACUGGGCUCGGCCAUUGAGUUCUUUAGGUUCGAGCAACGACCCUGGGGACAUGGCCGAGGUCUCCUCUCAGCAGGUUAAAAAAAAAACGACACCCUCUUGCUAUUCUCGUCAUGACUUCCUUUAAGCUUAACCUUGUUUAUUCGUGCAGGCUUCAUGGGAGGUUGAAUUCAAAGCUCUCCUCUCCAGUACGACUGCAGAGUCUGGUCCUUCGGCCGCUCCAACUGAGGCUGCCGAUCCAAGCGCCCUAACCCAGUUGCGAGAAGUCCUGUCGCUCUCUUCAUCGCAAGUACUUGAGCGCAACGGUCUUGAUCUGCUCGGCGUGUGUCUGAACGACCUUGGGGCCGACGGUCGCCUAAGCGGAGAUGCCAUUGUUCGGGCAUCGUCUGCUCUGGAGCGCGUUCGGGAGACAUUUGGCAUCUUCCAGACUGCUCUGAAGGCCGAACAGGACCUGCAAGCCGCCACGGCCGUUCAAGACACCCUCCGUCCGAAGAUUGACGAUCUACGGGCCAAAGGAGAAGCGUUAGCCGAACUCGACCGUCAGAUGGCCGAACUAGCAAAACGCCGGUCGGUCAUUGCUUCUGAACUUGCGAGGGACUUCGAGUCAGGCGGGAAGGAUCGCCUAACUGAGUAUGCGGCGGCCAAAAAACGGGUCGAGCGCCUGAGGCUAGACAAAAAGAAUCGACAAGCCGAAGUCAUCAUGGCCGACGUGCGGUGGUUGGAAUUGAAAGCUCUGCUCAGCACUCUUCUUCCCUCGUCUCCUUGAAUGUAUUUAGACCUACUCAUUUUUGUAAUACCUGUCAAUUUUAAUGGAAUGACUUUUCCUACAACAAACUUUUUAUUCACGCAUUUCCCAUGUGACCGGAUAGUAUUUCUUCAAGAACUUCCCAUUAAUUGGUAAUUUGUGAACUACUCCAGUCCGGUCUUUAAGAUGAUACGCCCCUUUACCGUAUACCUUAUGCACAAUGAACGGCCCUUCCCAAUUCGGCGACCACUUGCCGAACCUAGGAUCUUUUAUUCCUACGGGCAACACCGUUUGCCACACCAAUUCACCCUCGCCGAACGUUUUCUGUCGUACCCUUUGGUUAUAGGCUCGCUCGGCAAUCUGUUUCUGUGCCACCAGUAAGUUAUAAGCGUCAAGUCGCGCUUCUUCCAAAUCUUCUAGUUCCUGUCUCAUGGACUGAUUAUAUUCGGCGCUAAACAAACUACUUUGUUCAAUUAAUCGCAACGAAUUUAUGCUCAACUCGACUGGUAGCACCGCAUCGUGUCCAUAAGUCAAUGCGUACGGGGUUGUUGCAGUUGCCGAUCGGGACGACGUUCGGUAUGCCCAUAAUGCCUCGUUCAACUUCAAAUGCCACAUGCCAGGCCUCUCUUUUAUUAUUUUUUCGAGGAUGCCAAUCAACACUUUAUUACUUGCCUCGGCCUGCCCAUUCGCCUGUGGAUAAUACGGUGUGGACUGUUCCAGCCGAAUUUUCAAAUUGGCCGUGUAUUCCUUAAACCUUUCGGCUGUGAAGAUUGUUCCAUUGUCGGUUAUGAUCGUUUCUGGCACACCGAACCGGGUCACAAUGUGUUCCUCCACGAAAUCGCAAACUUCUUUAGACGUUAAUUCGGCAUAUGAUUUUGCUUCGACCCACUUAGUAAAGUAAUCAGUUGCGACUAUUAUCCAUGCAUGCUUAGCAGCUCCAGAAGUCGGCGUGAUUUUGCCGAUUACGUCCAUGGCCCAUCCUCUAAACGGCCACGGCUUAAUGACCGAAUGUAGCGAUUCGGCCGGGACCCUUUGUAUAGGCCCAUGGAUUUGGCACUGCACGCAUCCUCGUGCAAACUCGAUACAAUCUUUCAGUAUUCUCGGCCAAAAAUAACCAUGUCGUCGGAGUAGCCAUCGCAUUUCCGUCCAGACUGGUGAGCUCCGCAUACCCCUUCAUGAACCUCUGCGAUCGCUCGAGCACUCUCUUGAGGGCCGAGGCAUAGCAAUAACAAACCAUCUUCACCCUUUCGGUACAACUCGCUCUGGUACGUGACAUAGUUCGUGGCGUGAGCCCGUGUCCUGCGACUGUGUUUUCCGUUAGGAUUAUCAAGGUACUGCAUAAUGGGCUUUCUCCAAUCAUCUGGUACUGCCUCGGCCGCGCAAAUUUCUAUAGAGUCCUGGUCCUGCCGAUCCACCAACGAAGGCAAGGACAUGACCCUGGUGCGUAUCACAUUGUCUCGACGGAGGAUUUGCUGAUCAACCAAGGCCGGGUAUAAUUGUUGUAAUAUUGGUAUCUCCCGGCCUAGCUUGCCCCCCAGGAGUUGUGCACCGGAGGCGAUUUGAGCCAACUCGUCUGCGUCGGUAUUAUGAACCCGAGAAAUAUGCUCGAAUGUAAUGCCGUCAAAGGACUCGGCCAAAUAGCUGGCGAUCAUGUGGUAAGGCGCCAGAGUACAACUUAUGCAGCGAAAAGACCCAUUAAUUUGGUUAAUUACUAAUUCAGAAUCCCCGCGGACGAGGACACGAGUGGCAUGUAGGUCAAGAAGGAGGCCUAGACCAAUGACCAGAGCCUCGUACUCGGCCUGAUUAUUGGUACAGUCAAAUCCAAUUUGAGCGAAAAAAACCAACGAUCGUUGUGAGGAGACUGAAUGACGAUGCCUGCACCGGCCGAGGACGAAGUACUGGAACCAUCGAAAUACAUCGUCCAAUAGUUGUCGCGGGUCACCACCAUGCCAAUCUCAACAUCAGCACCCCCGAAAUCAUAAGGCGAAGGGUGCUGGGCAAGGAAAUCGGCCAACGCCUGUCCCUUCACAGCUUUUUGCGGCACGUAUUGCAAACUAAACUCGGACAAUGCCAUCGUCCAUUUCCCAAUUCGGCCCUUCACAAUUGGCCGGGUAAGCAUGUACCGGAUAACGUCGGUCUGGGCAAUGACUUGGGUGACCGACGGGAGCAUGUAAUGCCUAAGCUUGGAUGCAGCGAAGAACACAGCGAGACAGAGCUUCUCAACGGCGGAAUAAUUGAUCUCCGGAGGACUCAGAUUACGGCUGAGGUAGAAGAUAGCCUGUUCCCGGCCGGCAUCAUUGUCUUGCGCGAGGAGGCAACCGAUGGACUCGGCGGCCGCCGAGAUGUACAGCUUGAGAGGCUUACCGCGCCGAGGAGGGACCAGGACAGGUGGGUUUGUAAGGGAAACCUUGAUCUGUGUGAACGCCGCCUGGUGCUCCUCAUUCCACAUGAACUUAUCAGAGUCCUUAAGCUUCAAAAGUGUGGAAAAGGCUUUCAUUUUACCUGCCGAAUUAGCAAUAAAUCGGCGUAAAAAAUUGAUCUGGCCGAGUAAGGACUGUAAUUGUUUCUUCGUUGUUGGGGGUGGGGCGGUGAUGAUUGCGCGUGCCUUGUUCUCAUCGACUUCAAUCCCACGAUGAUGUACGAGGAAACCAAGAAAAUUCCCGGCCGAUACACCGAAGGCACACUUGGCAGGAUUCAUCUUGAGGUUGUGCUGACGCAUACGGAGAAAAGCCUGUCGGAGAUCGUCCAGAUGUGUCUGUCGGCGUUUAGAUUUGACGACAACAUCGUCGAUAUAAACUUCGACGAUGGUGCCAAUUAAAUCAUGGAAGAUGGUGUUCAUCGCCCGCUGGUACGUGGCGCCGGCAUUCUUGAGGCCGAAUGGCAUGACAACCCAUUCGUAAGUGCCGAGUGCCCCCGGGCACCGGAAAGCAGUUUUGUGCACAUCGGCUUCGGCAAUAAAUAUUUGGUUAUAGCCGGCAUGUCCAUCCAGAAAAGAUAAGAUCGCAUGAUUCGCCGCGGCAUCGAUUAACAGAUCUGAAAUCGGCAUUUGUAUACUCAUCUUUGGGCGUUGCCAGAUUCAGAUUGCGAAAAUCGGUACAGAUGCGCAGUGCACCACUUUUCUUUAAUACAGGAACAAUAUUCGCCAACCAUUCGACAUAUCGAGCUGUCCGAAUGAACCCGGCUUUCAAAAGCCGAACUAAUUCGUCCUUAACACUGAGUUGUACUUCGGUCGAGAAUCGACGAGGUGGCUGACGGAAAGGCUUGAAUCCGGGCUUAAUACGUAAUUCAUGCUCGACCAAAGCACGAUCUAAGCCGGGCAUUUCAUGAUAACUCCAAGCAAAACAAUCUUUGAAUUCCGUAAGCAAAGCCCGCAACUCGUCCUUCAUUUGUUGAGGAAGUAACGCACUAAUAAAAACAAAAGUCGUGGGUCAUCGGCCGUCCCAACAUUAAUUUCUUCCAAAGGGUCCUUGACAAGGGGCCGAUGAUCUUCGAGCUUGGCCGGGGCGGCUCGAAUUUUAUCAAAAAGAUAAUACAGGCCCAUUAUCUCCCUCAGCAAGGAACUCGACGAGGUUGACACACCCGAAUUUGGUUGUUUGGAUAUCGUAUACCAAUGGGCCAGCAGUCGUUCCAUAGUAGAUGAAACCGCGGCCCUACGUGCUUCCCGAUCGGCGUCAAACAUCGGGUUCGGGGAGAAAGUUAGCUAAUCCGAGUCUCGCCGAAUCCUGCUGGACAGUCUCGGCGCCAACCUCGAUAGCUUUCUGAACGGAAAUCCGAGUCGGCCGUCCUUCUUCAUUGAAGCCUUGCAACGUAAUAUAGCCGACGUGAUCGUCAUAAUACCGUGCUUGAAUCAUGUUGGUUUCGAAGGGCUGGCUAUCGGCCGGAUGAACAGUGACCGAUUUGCCGUCCCAAAAGACAAGCACUUGGUACAAUGAGGAAGGAAUACAACUGGUUUGAUGAAUCCAAUCUCGGCCGAGCAAUGCAUUAUACUCGGUUUUGGAAUCAACCACAAAAAAGGCGGUCAUAUGGGUGCGACCGGCAAUAUUCACAGUUAACGGAAGCACACCUUUGGUGUGGGACUUGUCGCCGACAAAACUGCUCAUUGUGAUCCCUGACGGAAUAAGUUCGUCAUUGGAACGGCGUAAGGCCUUCAUGAUGUUCAGGGGCAUGAUAUUGACAGUAGCUCCACAAUCGACAAAAACCUUAGAAACCGGAUAUCCCUCGAUGUGUGCCGUUACAUACAAUGGCUUUAAAUGGUGAAGCUUGGCCGAUGAUAAACGAGGGAACAAUUCGGCCAAAAGCGGCCUUUAGGCUAUCAUUUCUUGCUGUUGACUCGCCUUCAGCAAUCGAUAUAAAAUCAACAUGACCAGGUUCCUCGACAACCACAUCUCCAUCGAGAAAAUUUGGUUGAGCCGUGCUUGAUUGAAAAUCGGCAGGUAAUACAUGAACCAUACUAAUUUCCAUAUUAUCCAGGACGGACGGGCCCAUCUGGUCGAGACCCUCCUCGUUCGGUUGGUUAGCGACUACGGAUUUGGUUGUCGUCAGAGUCGGACAACGAGAUUCUUCCGUCCCUUCAACAAUGUCACCCGGCGGAGCUGCUUCGGCCACUUGUUGGCUCCGCAUGACCGCCUCAGGUAAGGUCGAGAUUGACAAUGAGCUUGGGGUCAAGUCCUGAACCUGCUCCUGGUAGUGUAGCCGAGCAUCCCUAGUGUCGAGAUAAGCAUCAAGACGGGCAAUACGGGCGAUUUCAUCGGUCGUAAGGCCGAAGAGAGAAACUGCUGAAAAUACUUCAAAGUGAUAUCGUAAAUACUGAAGGUCCUCUAGCGAGAAAGGAAGGUCAGCGACAUCGAUAUCGGUAUACGGGUCAACUUCAAAUCCAAAGACACGAGCUUCUCGUAUGUGCUGGAACCUUGCUUUCAAUCCUGGAUCUGAGGUCUUCUGGAUGAUCCGCUCAGCAUCCGGACAAGCCAAGACAAGAUCAAUGGUGUCCUGACAUGCCUUCGGCAAACCAUACAAAUCGUUGGCCGAAUGUUCCUUAUGAAAUUCUCGCAUAUAUUCCAAAGACUCCCCAAGGAACGGGGGGUGCAAAUUCCGUCGAAUUUUGACCAAAGGCUCUUGGAUAGCUAUCGGGGAUAAUUUACUUUCGGCCUUUUGCCUGAAAUGUUCAACACGUGCCUUCAUUUCCCCUGGUCGAAUGAGAAGUUUGAUCCGCUUAUCGGCUUCUUCAAACAUGGUCUCGACGUCUUGACCGACCAGCCGUUUUCCCUGAGCCAACUCUGUCAUAAUUGGUGGAGGUGGUCGCUUUUCACGAGUGGCAACUGUAUCCUUCGGUCGCCACUUAGGGGCCGAAGUUUCUUGGGCUGCUUGUCGGCGAGCCAUGCAAUCCAUCCGUUGAUGCCGGCGUUUCUGAGAUUUGGACAACGCGGUAUAGACGCCCCUCGAAGAAUGGUACGUAUACCAACGUUGAUCUCUAGGCUCAGGAGGCUUGAAGGUCUUUUGACUCCGUGAUGAUCCUGAACUGCUAGAAUUACGCUUAUAGUAAUCAUCGUCAUAAAAUGAAGCAUCAAAAUCGAGGCGCCGCCUGACCGGGGGUGUCUCUUCCAUCCGUACUUUAGGACCGAGCCUCCCAAAAACCCCAUGAUGUUGGUCUUCAUUGGCUACCUUUUGCCGAGUUACGGCCACGGGUUGCGAAGAAGGUUUCUCUUCUGGUUCACUGUCGACCUUCGCUUUACAUUUCCUGCACAGAACCGCUGUCCCACUAUCUUCAUCAGCGCUAUACUCCGUCAAAGAUUUGACAAUAGCGGGCCCCAUUAAGGCCGUAGAUAGUUAUUUGAACGCGAAUCGGCCAUGAACCGUGGCCGAACAUUCUGACUCCGCGGGCGUUGUGUCUCACCCACUUCAGCCUUGCCUUUCCCUUUGUCCUUGGGUAGGUACGCGUCGACCAUACUUACUGUUGCCGUGGGGAACGGAUCAGUAUCAACACUCAUCCUCUUCUCGGGGAACUUCAGUUUGCCAUUAUCAAUCCAGCUUUGGACGUUAUCACGAAAUACGACGCAAUUGUUUGUCGUGUGUUUGCUCGAAUUGUGGUAUUUGCAAUACACCUUUCCUUUAAGCUCCUCGGCCUUAGGAAUGUUAUGACCAGGCCGAAGCUUAAUGAUUCUUGCUGAUAACAGUUGGUCAAAAAUUGCGUCAGCCUUGGUAAUAUCAAAAGUAUAAACCUUUGACGGUUUCGAUGUUCCUUCAGUGGCCGAGCGACUUUUGGCUUCUCUAGAAUCAACCUGAGUUAAUGCCUUGCAAAUGUAUGGUUUAUUUAUUACUAUCUCAGCCGCAUCCACACUAACACAUUCAUCCUCGGUUGAUGCAUAAUUGACAGUAGGGUUCUUGUAAAUCGUUCCCCGAGUUGGAGUCUUCGAAGUCUUUUCCUCGCGGAGCAAAUAAUCGUACUGCUCGACAUGCUGGGCCAAUUCGUACAUGUCCUCGAAAAUUUGCCCCCAAGAAUUUCUUUUUGUAUUCGACGUCAAGACCAUUCAAAGCAAGUCUGACAAAUUCGACUUCGGGUAAAGGCACUCGGCACCAAUUCCUAGCCGAUUUAAACCUAGUAAGAUAAUCCAUUGGUGACUCAUCAGACGCUUGAGCCAUCCGUGCUAAUGAAGAAACUGACAUCUCCAUCCCCGGCCGAUAAAAUUGCUCGUGGAACUUCUCGACCAACUCCUCCCAGUUUUGGACGGAAUUAGGCGGGAGAUUGAUGUACCAGGCAAAUGCCGAGCCGGUCAAUGAAAAAUUGAACAGCCGUAACUUGUGGAAAUCACUAUUCACAUCUCCACAUUGCGCGGUGAAACGAGCCACGUGCUCCAACGAAGACAGGGACGAUUCACCAGCAAAAAGACUAAAAUCUGGGAUCUUGAAGCCCUUCGGGUAUCCAAACGUCUCAACGUAAGCUGGGUAUGGAUGAAUAAACUUGGGAAACUUCGGCCCUUUCUUCAUAGCGGAGUCGAUCAUCCGCUGAACUUCGGUCAUAUCAACAGAUGCUGCCUCGACCCUUUGGUCGGUCCCGUCUGACCUACUGUUCGACCCUCCUCCCUUCUCUAAGUUAAUUGUUUUGAGCGGGGCAAGAAUAGGCCCGGCCGGUACAAUCGGUGCCGGAUUGUUUUCUGGUAAGCAAGUUUGGCGAAGAUCGAAAGGCCUGCUGCCACCAACUUGGCUAACCAGCAUUUCGAGCAGUUUGGUUUGCCGAUCAUUGGCACUGAGUAUCGCGUCCUGCAGCUUGUCAAUGCCUCGACUGAACGUCUGCUCGACUGACCGAGACUGCUCGUCCAGUCGCUUUCUGAGGAAUGACCUCGUUGGUGGGUCUGUUCCUUCACCACCAUCCUCAUCACAUUCCUCUAUUAUCCCUUCAUUGAGAACGCAUGUGUUUCUGUUUGGGAUCUCUAAACCACGGAGUUGACCGCCGAGAUUAAGUUCUCUCUCUCGGCGAGUUGCGCUCGUGGACUCAGGUGUCCCAACGCUAAGGGGAUUCUGCGCCUGUGGCACACUCUGUCCUAUGUUCUGACUCGGUAAAUCGGCUGUCGACUUUCCCAUAGCUGUUUUUUUUUUUACCGAUCGUGUUUCAAUUGGCAUGAACUUCGUAGUUUAGCACUGGGUCCCACCGGGCGUGCCAAAAUGUUGACCCUAGAAAUUACAAAGCCUACGUGGCGCGCAGGCCGAAUAUAUUCUAAGCUAACUACGUCCUUCGGUGAUUGCGGGGCGUGCCAACUCGUCGGCCGAGGCUCGGCCGAGGAGUAAAUUUGAUGAUGCUGCGUUGGGUCGCGCUACUGACUUCUGCGUCUUGCGAUUGCGGCCGAGAAAGGAACGCGUCUCGGCCUCUUGGGUUCUCGAGCCUGAAGACAAGGCUGCUAUUUCUUACAAAGUUCACGAACCGAAUUCGGCUUACAAUGUGCCGAAUGUAAUAACUGUAACACCUCACCUCGCCGAGAAGGCUAAUGAGAUGACCUCGACCAACAAGGAUUCGAAAACCCUUCUCGACCGAGACUUGGAUAGGCAAUCGACCGUUCUCGCCGCAGUGCUGUUGAUGCCAACGGAAGAUACUGCGAGACCGACCGACUCUACGGUGACAGAGCUAUCUAUGCCGACUUAAGAUAUCACCGGUUGCUUCCACAGUGCUGUUGAUGCCAACGGAAGAUGUGUCAGCGAAAAAAGAAAAGAAAAAGAUCUCAAGUUGUGAGAGUUUGCGCAGGGCAAUUUUGUAUUGAUGUUUGUGGGGCUUCUUCCAUUGCUGAAUGUCUUGUAUUUAUAGAAGCAGAACACCGAGCCCGAGUUCUAAUCCUAUUCGAACUAGGUUUCCUUCUCCGGAUUAAUGUUACCUCAAUCAGUCCUACCUCUGCUAGGACUACGAAUCUAGUCCUUAACUGAGCCGGAUUCGCCUUCUAGUUUUACCGAUCUCGUCGAGGGUCCCUAUUGUAUUAGGACUCGACUUGCACUCUGAUUUAACCGAUCUAGGCCUAGAAGCCCAUGAGCUGAAGCCCCCAUGACUUUCUCGCCGUAGUCUUCCCGGGCCGAAAGUGAUACCUCCCUCGGCCCAAACUGCUAUUUUGGGCCCAAACAGUAACACAAGGCAAAUCUUAAAUGAAGGGUGUCACUGUCAUUGGUUAUUACUUAAAAGAAAAAAAAAACUGUGCGGCUGCAAUUGGGAGCUUGUGGAGUGAAUAGUUUCGGAAAGUGAAAAUCGAAAGGUGAUCUGUGAAGUCUUUGAAGUGAUUUUUAUUGACCAAUUUGUCUAGAAUGGAGAUAAAAACCAUGGAUGGCUUUGCCUUGCAUGCAUUGAAGAAUUCUUUUCUCUUUCAGUUUCAUAGACUCCGUUAAUUGGAGUAUUGUCAUGUUUUAGGGCUUCAUUGGUGUUUUUAGUACUUUUUACUAGAUUGAUUCAUAUUCUAAAUUCACAUCAAAUAAAUAUCUGAACUCAUGGCAUCAGUUUCCCAAGUGUUUUCUUAUACAGUGAAACUUGAAAAAAAUUCUGUAUGAUGAAGUCAAAUGAAGCACUUACCUGAUGAUUUGUUAUGCAAGACAUUAUAAGCUUUACUUCUUGGCAUGGUCAUGCAAACCAAUCUAGAACCAAUGUCUUGUUAAUAAUUUUGGUUUCGGAGAAUGUCUCACUUGAUUACUUCAUUCUUGUAAAAGUCACUGUGGAAUUGAAGACUCAAUAUUAGGAGCGGAGAAUAAGAUUAUGAGGUUGUUUUUAAUAGUUUCCUAUGCACCAGUUCUUGUUGAUGCUGAGAACUCGUUCGAAAGUGAUUGAUGCUGGUUUAUGUAUGUAAAGCAGAUACAUUUAAAGAGGGAUGAUAAGAACUGUAUGAUUCAUGUGAGAAAAGUGAAGUUAAUGUAUCAAAUUAAUGAGCAUCUGUCAUAUUGCAUCUCAACUCAAUUUAGAAACCAAUAAAGUGUGAUCUAUUUUUGAAAUGGUUUGAUUUUGGAAAUUUAGAUCUCUGUCCUUUGCCCUCAUCACAUUAUAUUUAUUAGAAUAACUUCUACAGUUUUCAUUUUUUAUUUUGUCUUUGGUUCUCUUUUGGAUUAGGUCCCUCGUCUAAUUAUCUGUCUGCCAAUUUUAUGGUUUCUUGUACGUUUGUUUGAAAAUGCUGCUCAUACCCUUACAUGUUGAAGUAUUUUUCUUUUCUGUAACUUUUUUUACUUCAACUUGUCUGAAAGUUUGAACCUUUCAAAUGUUUGGUCUUGGCUGAAUGUAAGAUUCUACAAGCCAGUAUGCUUUUUCACUUACAUUUGGUGAUUUCUUUGUUUCUAUAUGAACCAUCCAUAUAUACAAAGUGACUUUUUACGUUGUGUCUGGUUUUGAUUUUUUUUUUUUUUGACAGUUUGCAUGUGUCUUUUGAUGAAAUAAGUUAGUUGCAAAAUGGUCAGGUUGGUUACUGUUUAUGUAAAUUAUCUUAUCUAAAUUUGCAUUUUCUUGGGUGCCAGAAAAACAUGUGGAAUGCAUGGGUAACAACUUCAGAGCUCCGACAUUCUGUCACACUCAAAAAGAUCAAGUUACUCUUGUUGAGGCAAAAAUUGAAGUUAACUUCUAUCCUCAGAGGACAAGUAAGUUUCAGAGAUUAAUUAUCUUGAUAGCGCUUACUUUCUGCUCCAAUCUAACAUAUGUCAUUGACUGGCAUCCGCAAUGUAAUAGUACAUAAUAUGGUGCUGGUGGCAUAUUUUUUUCUAAUGCUAAACUCAUUUCUCUAAUAGAUUCAUGUUUCUGAGAUGUAACUAAGUUUUCUGCUGGCUGGCCUUCAAUCAACCAAAACCUGUCUUCCACUUUGUUGUCUCCUUGUUAGAACUUUUCCCCCUUCUGGAUUAGUGCCACUCUCUUUCUUUCGUUAAUCUGUGCGGAUGUCCAAAAAGCACUAUCAAGACAGUGUUGAUAAGAUUGCCUAUAAUAAAUCCUUACUAACUUGUACCUUGAUUAGUGCAAGUUCAAUGCUUUGUAUUUAGGCAUCCAAUAAAAGGAAUAAUUUUGAAAAGAAUCAUCCGCCAAGUCCAAGUUUCUUUUUCCUACUACAUGAAGUAGCUGUUUGGUUAGAGCUAACUUGGUGUUUAUAUGGAACCUUUUUGUAUGUGUUAGCUUCCAGAUUUCUGAUAACCAAGCAGGAGGAUCAAAAUUUCUAAAAAAUGCUCUUAUUUUUAUAAUUUUAUAAUCAUAAUAGUAUUCCUAAGGAUGUAUGCUCAUUGUAAUGGGAAUGAGUUAUUCUUUAUUGACAUUGGUGAUGGUAGAGGGUGUUAUCUUAUUUUUUUUUUGUUACUCAAGACCUUUUAUUGUAAAACGCCUGUUGAUGAACUUUACUUCUGGCUAGCUUAGGGUCAAUUAGGUCUCUCAUAUAAGAGGAGCUUAUUUCCGGUAAAAACAGAGGUGUUUAGGAGUUGGGGCAUACUAUAGAAGAGGGAAAGUUAUUAGUGAAAUAAUAUGUUUUCUGUCAAGACAGUGUGCUACAUCUUCAAAAAUCUUUUGUAGGAAGACAUGCAAAUAUCGUCUGCAAAGGCAAUGUGAAAUAUCAGAAAGAAGGGAGACUAGACUGUUUUGGGAUAACAAGGGCUUGCAUAAUUACUAACAUUAACCUUGGUUGAGGUCCCAUUAGCCUCAAUUGAUUGCCAUUAAAUGAUGCUUAUAUGCUCUAGACCUUGCAUUCUUGCCAGAGCUACAGAGUUUGAAAUGUCAAUCUCAAAUCUGGUCCAUCGAAUGCAGAAGGACAAAAAUAACUCAACCCACUACUGUCAAUGUAGGUGCUGAUGAAGGAGCAUCCGAAGUUCCUCAGGGAUGUUCCCUGUGGGCGCGUGUCUGCAUGUAUAAUAGUUAUUGUCUUUCCAAAUAAAGCUUAUCUACCUGAGUUUGUAUGUUAUCAUGAAAUACUAUUUCUUUUGUACCAAAUUAUUUUCUUGUUAAUAUUACAACUGAAUACACUUGGUAAACCUAUGAUAGCUAUAUAUUAUAGUCACACCAUGAUUUUGCGAGUGUUUUAUUAAAUACAUACAGCCUCUUUUUUUUUAAGGCAUCUACUGUUUUUUUUGUUAUUUAUCCUGUCCUUGAUAAUGAAUGAAGUUUUGUUGUGGUUGGUGAAUGUAGAUUAGUUGUUUGGAAGAAUGGGGUCUUCUGGAAAAAGAUCACUCUAGUUCUUUGCUAGGAGCAACUGAAGCUUUGCAGGCCAGUACUCUCCGUCUUCCAGUUGUGGGAAAAGCAAUAGUAUGUGGCUUCUUUUUACCCUUAAUUUAAUCAAGGGCACAUCAAGGGACUAAAGGAGCCAUUACUGUUCAAAAGACUGACAAUGCUCAUUUUAUGCUAGGUUGACUUUCAAAAUCUGAAAGAAGCUGUGGGUUCAGCAGCUGAUGUGAUGCAGACAAUGGUAUCCUCGAUAUGCUAUCUUUCGUCAAAGGUAAUCUAUUUGUCUCUCUUGAAUCUUACUUUCCUUGGUUGAUGUCACUGUUCAUGUAAAACAUUUCACAAAAACAUAACAUUAACAUCCUGGUCCUAAAGUAGGUUCAUUUGCUUAUAAGUUCUAAGUUUAGAAGUAAAAUGGUGAUUAAUAAGUCACUGUUUCUGAACAUUAGCCCAGGUUAUAACCAAGUUUUGCAUUUUGGUGAAACAAAAUGGUAUUGAGGUAUAAUAUCCUUUUAGAUAAAGGGGUAAUUUGAUUGAGGUCACUAAAUUUUCUCAACAUUAGGAUUGAGUCGAUCAACAUUUUGUGCUUUUUAGGUCAAUGAAGAAAGUUUAGCAAGUGGUAUUGCCUUUUGUUGGAGAAGAAAUUUUUUUUUAGUACCUUAGUUGAAGAGGAAAAUUGUUUCAGUUGACCUAUGCUAGAAAAUGAAGUGACCAGACCUAUGCCGAAAUAUUAGUUGAAGAGGAAAAUUGUUGCAGUUGACCUAUGCUAGAAAAUGAAAUGACCAUUGACCUAUGCCGAAAUAUGAAAUUAUUAUUGACCUAAACCAAAUUUCUUAUUAAAUAAAGCCAUUAAAAGUCUCUCUUCUCCAUUGCAACACCUAGGUCAUUUAUGUUGUUUUUUAGAUUACAAAACGUAGGCAAUUGGAUUGAGCUACAACAGUCGCUUCCUGAUCUGAUAGCAAGUUAUUGGCGUCCACACCCCCAGCCGGAUCACUCUUGUUUUUUGACAGCAUGUGAGGUUUGAUUCUGGCAUGUCACCUAGCCUCUAUGCAUGUUGUCGAUUGAUUCCUGGUAGAUAGAUGUGUCUAUGUAACCUCUUUAUGAAUAGCUUAACAAUCUGCAAAGAAGUCGAAACUGUUUUAAGGAAGUUUCUGAAGCACUUUCCCUUUUACAGGUGGAGGAAAUGAAUUCCUUGUUGUGUGAACUUAUGAAGGUUACUGCAACAGAACGGGUUGUGCUUGAACAAUGCAAAGAUUUUUUGUCCACAUUAUCCGCCAUGCAGGUAAUCUGCCCAUAGUUUUCAUUUUGGUUCUCCUUCCAAUCUCUCACAUUUAUCCACCCGGUUUUUGAAUUGCUUUCUUAUCCAAUGUAACAGGUCAAGGAUUGUAGCUUGAGAACACAUAUAAUACAAUUGCAACGUGUACCAACUAUCCGAAGCCUGACAACACGCGUGUAGAACUGAUCUUAUUUGACUACUCACUCCUAAUGCUAACACAUUACACGAACCUUUCCUUUUCCACCGGGUGGAGGCAGCAGAGGUAAUAAGGAUCGAUCAAGUAGCUAGUUUUGGCUUCCGACAUUGGCAUUUGGCAUUUUUGGAACCUGUUUGUGGUCUUCUGCGUCAAGUAUCUCGUCUCAUGUGUCUUUGUAUCUGAAGAAUAUAGAAAAGGGUUUUUUUUCCUCUCACUAAUUAGCUGUAUACAAGCACUCUUUUCUUUCCUUUGGGCCAAAAGGAAAUGUAUGUGUGUAUAUAUGUAAUGUUCUGCUAAUUACACUUAAGUAGUUUGUGGUAAUUCUUCCUUCUACCCUCUCUACGUGCCUCUUAUUUUGCUCGUUUAUUCGUUAUUUUGCCAAUGCCAUCAUUAUAUGUCGCGCGUAUGAGUUGAUCUUAAUUAUUCAUGUUUGUGAGAUCAAGUAAGAAUGAUUGUGAUUAACUUAAACGAUCAUACGCGACUGAUCCUAUCAUUCCUCUUUAUGACUCUAUUAAUUAAGCAAAUGCACCAACUGACCUCGUCGUAUCCCAGGGCUCGAGAUCACCCACAUGCUAACCACCGUGCUCACAAAGCUUCCAAUGGGAGGAUAGGAGUCAUCUGGGAAGAAGACGUUUGUCUUAGUUUGACUAUUCGGGUCAACGACAGCCCACGUUAAAGUUCCAGCACACGCGGAUGUGAUCAUGUGACGGCCACCAUUAACACCCAAUUGCCUCAUUAGCUAUUUUGGACUCCUAGCCCUUCUCCUACAAAAGACAAACUGAAACUGUCGGUUUUAAAACCUCGUAUAAGGGGUGCAAUUUGGAUAAGAAAAUACUGUUUCCAACCGACUAUGAGCUGAAAAGUUUUAAAAUAUUUCGUCCGAUUCAAUUUCGAAAUCAAAAUAUUGAAAUUCAAAACACUCAUAAAAGCAUUUGAUAGAAUUGUAAUGAAUUUGCACAUUUCGAAUCCGAUCUAAAAAAUUCGAGACUUGCUUAACUGCCUCACAUACACUUAAUUAGGUACUUAUUAGCUUUGAAUAUGUUUCGUUUGUUAUUUGUUAUACAACAUGCUCAAAUAUGAUUAUAUUUUUUUCAUUACAAAUAUAUUAAAUUUGGUUCUUGUUCUAACUUCUAUUCUAUUGCAUUUUAGGUUUAACUAUAUUUUACGCUCUAGUGUUUUGGAUUAUUUUCAUAAUUGAUAUUUGAAAAUCAGAGUAUCAAACGGACAAACAAA